RNAcentral lists this long non-coding RNA (60795 nucleotides) under Capsicum annuum. RNAcentral describes it as "long non-coding RNA (CANN_LNC015308)". The stretch from base 59144 to 59215 matches the Rfam family "tRNA". The record is from RNAcentral. Lineage: Eukaryota; Viridiplantae; Streptophyta; Magnoliopsida; Solanales; Solanaceae.
UCCGGUUUAACUCGGCGUAGAAGUGUAUAGUGGACAAGCUGUCCGUUGAAUUUCAUAUGUUCAGGCAGGUCUCAUAAACCACCAAAACAGAAAUUCUUAAACCUAGAAUUCAAACGUUGAUCAACCAUGACUUGUUUGAAUUCAUUAAAUAUUUUCAAAUGGGACCUAACGGAUAUCUUAGCCGAAAAUGAUCCGACAUCAUUCAGGACUGUGGCAAGGUCGUACCUCUCAGCCGAAAUAAACUUUGCACAGUGGGGCAAGAUCAGUGCUUCCUCGUCUAUCCUAGCCUCAAAUUCUACUUCCUCCGGCUUAUCUCGAAUCGAAGCUUCAACAGCUUCCUCACUGCAAUUUCUAUUCUUCGAUUCAUCGACUACUCAUUUUUUUCUCAGACCUAUCAAAUUCUAUAGCCUUGCGUUUGUUACCUCUAGCCAUUUGUUAUGAUCUACGGACAAAAACUAACAUUUCUCAGCUAUAACAGCAAAUACAACACCUAAUUGACCUAUCAGUCUAUGGACAUAGCAGCAGUUGCAGCACAAGAAAAACCAAUUUGCAGAACAAGUUUCUUCCAAAACAACUCCAUCACCCACAAGAACAUGUAUCUAAAUCGCCAUUAUAUUGAACAAAAAUAGGAAGGAACCUAGAUUUUUAGAACGUAAAUAAAAACAAAAUCGCAAAAAAUUCUCAAUGCAAUCGUCGAGGAAAAUUAAAAUCCAACAAAAACAAUGCAAAAACAAAUUGAAUACUAACUUAAAAACACAAAUUAUAAGUAAAAUCAAGCCCUAUUUUUUUAAAAAAAUUUCAAUUUACAACAAAUAUAAUACCUAAUCGACCUAGCAAUCUAUUAACAUGGCAGCAGUUGCAGCACCAAAAAAGCCAAUUUGCAGAACAAGUUUCUUCCAAAACAACUCCAUCACCUACAAAAACAUGCAUCUAAAUCACCAUUAUAUUGAAUAAAAACAGGAAGGAACCUAGAUUUUUAACAUGCAAAUCGAGAAAAAGUAGCAAAAAAAUCUCAAUGCAAACGUCAAGAAAAAUUAAAAUCCAACAAAAACAAUGCACAAACAAAUCGAAUACCAAUUUAAAAACACAAAUUAUAAGUAAAAUCAAGCCCAAUUUUUUCAAAAAAAAAUCAAUUUUUCGGGUCCAAAUAUCAAAUAUGCAGCAAAGAAAUCCCCAACAUGAACAUGCUUCUACAACACCCUUACAUUGGAGAAAAGUUUUAAAAAAAAUCACAUAUCUUGCCACAUUCCGAUGAAAUUAGUGAAGAAAUUUCAACAUGCAAUCGCCAAGGAUAAUCGAUAUAAAACCAAUUAUUCAUCAAAACUCAAGUAAAUACCAACUAAAAAUAACCACUUUCAGUGAAAUCAAGCCCCGUUUUUAAAAAAAAAUUCAAUCUUUUUUAACUCCAACGACUUCACCCGCCACAAACGAGUUCGAAAAAAAAUGAAAAAACCCCAUCAAUAUGAAGCACAAAUUAACCGGAACAAGAAUAUAACUUACCUAAAGUUGAAGAUCAAAGUUGAAGCUGAUUCACAUGAGCUCAAAAUUGAAAAUGAUGAAAAGGGAAGAUGAAGAGUGUUGUUGUAAAGAGAGAAAAUGGGAGAGAAUUUAUUUUUUUGUAUUUAAUGGAAGAGUAGGGUUAAAAAUGUAUUUAAUAAAUGCAUAAGGGGUUCCGAAAGAUUUAAAAAAUACAUAAGGGGUGCGAAAAAGUUUUUUUAUUUUACAAUUAAAUCUAUGACCCACAAAAUCCUAAAAAAUUAGGUCGAGGCAAAAGAAAUGUCUAUUUCCCAAAAUAAGUUUUCAAAGUGGACUUAUAGCUAAAUCUUCUCCCUAAACUUGCUGCUGCAGAUGGCAUGUGCAUGAACCAAACCCCAAACAUGCUACCUGCCUCGGGUCUUUCCAACCCUAGGUCCAUUUCUUCCCACUUCAUUGGUCAAUAUGAUGGAAACAAAGAUGACAUGAAGAUAUCUAAGACAACGAACAUCUCAGUGGCUCCCCUUGGCAUAUGGGAGACUCCAAAGAUUGUGACAUCACUAGGAGGAUCGGACCUGUUGGGGCGAAUACCAUAAUGCCAGCAGGUAUGACAUGUUGGAGUGGAAAUUCUGAACAUAUUUGUGACGUAAAAGCUUACCUUUUGAAACUCAGAACUUUUUCUAACUAUUUUAUUGAAUUCUUUAGCAAUCACUGAAGUCCUUUAGAAAUAUUUUAGUUUCAAUGUGACUUAUUUAACCAAGUCUUCAUUUACGUUUUGUGCAGCAGUUCCACACGCUAGGAAAGCAUCUUUGGCUCGGUUUUUAGGGAACCGGAAGGAAUGGUAAAAUGCUAAAUGUCUCUUGUUUUUCUUUAGGCUUUAGUUUACAUAUGCUUUUUCUGGAUCACUAUCGUUAGCUAGUUCUCUUUCGUGGCUUUCUAGAAAUUAUUAAUGUGAAUGCAAGUUUAUGCAUUAGUUGUUCUUUUUGAUCGUCGUCGCUAUUUCAAAUAUGGCUUAUAGCUAUCUGGCAUUUUCUGUAGUUUUGAUUCAGUCAUAGAUUGAGGCACAUACUGUAUGUCUAUUGGAUACUUGCAGACACAAUUUAAAAAGCAUUGCUAUUGAACUGCUGAUCAUGUUUGCAGGGCGAUUGCUCUCGAGGCUGCUUAAUACCGUAAAUAAAAGAAGCAUAAUCUAUUAUUCCGAUCACAGUUGUCGAAAUAAUUAUUUUAUUAGUUUUUUAAAUAUUUAUUUAUUAAAAUUCUAACUAUAGUAGUCGGAAUAAUUAUAAUUAUUAAAUAAUUAUUUAUUAAAAUUCCUACUACAGUAGUCAGAAUAAUUAUAAUUAUUAAAUAAUUAUUUAUUAAAAUUUUGACUACAGUAGUUGGAAUAAUUAUAAUUAUUAAUUAAUUAUUUAUUAAAUUUCCCACUAUGGUAAUUGAAAUAUUUAUAAUUAUUAAAUAAUUAUUUGUUAAUUUUUUUACUACAGUAGUCGGAAUACUUAUAAUUGUUAACUAAUUAUUUUUAAUUAGUUUAUUAAUCUUCCGACCACUGUAGUCGGAAAUAUUUUUCCGACAAGAUAUAUUUCGACUACUAUGAUACAGUCGGAAGGUUGUUGGAAAUACCUUAUUUUUCGACUACAUUCUAGCUUCAGCUGUUAGAAAAUUACUAAUUUCUUGUAGUGUUCGGUCUACAAGAUGUUAGCCACUAUUUUACAAAAAAAGUGUGUUGCACCUAGAAGUGGCCUUAGAAAUAAUUCAGACGGAAUCAUUCAGCAAAUUGUGAUCUUGAAAAGACAAUUCAAGCAUGGGUUAGAGUAUGUUCCAAGCAAAGAGUAUAAAAAGAAAGCAAACAAGAAGGAUCAAGAGUUAUCUCAAAAACUAUCGGAAUUCUACCAAUCAUUUUCCAAAUAGAUAGGUGAUGAUACGCGGAUGGUUCUACCAUUGAAUAAUUCCCCAAGAUAGUUGGGAUAAAGAAAGCUGAACUGCAGGAAAAGUCAUCGAACCGGACUUUUAUUUCCCUUAUUACUCCCUGGUUAAUGUGGAAGAUAAAAAAAAUGAAAAUUAAUUUUCUACUAAAUUGGUGGCAGCACAAAUGAGACUUGAUACCCAACCUUUUUGCUUCUGAAAAAAAAAAUGUAUGUAGCAAUUAUUAGAUAGGAAAUUACAACUUAUAGCAUAAUUUUCAUUUUGUCAAGUUAUAACAAAUCUUAUAAAAAAAAUAAAAACAUUUUUUUUCUUUUUCUAAAAAAUACGAAAAAGUAAUUUUUGAAAAGGAAAAUAAAGAUUUAAUACAACUAAUAUGCAAUAAUCCUUCCUUAAAUAUAGUUAUCCUUAAUUAUUGAUAUCAAUCCACCCCAAACCCCUCUAACCGUUUUUCUUUUCUCCUAUGUUAAUGCUUUCAUUAAGAGUUUCCAUCUUCAUACACUACCUUCUUUUUAUACACCAUGUAAUUGUUCCAGUCACAAAUUGGUAUUACCUAAAUUUAUACACUAUCUUCUUUAUAAAUUUUGAUUGCAACGAGGAACCACUAGAAACUCUCAACAACGGCUACCAAUCGCCAAAUUAAGACCUUUUAACUGGUAAAGAUCCUCCGUAGAAGUAUGGUUAUUGCUCCAUUAGGGACUGUUUUAUAAAUUGGUAUCACCUAAAUUUAAUAUCGCAAUCCAUAAAUAUCAAUUUAUAUAUCUAUUUCAUACAAAUGUGACAUGUAAGAAAACACUUUAUAAACUGAUUCAAUUCAAUUUAUAAUCUGAAGUAUAUCUUCUUAAUUGAAUAUCAUAAUCACAUUAUACUCAUUCCAUAGAAAUAUAACAUUUAAGUAACUAUUUUAUAAACUUUGAAUAUAAUAUUGAUAUUAUACAGGUUUCAUACAUGAAAUAAUUUAAAAAAUACAAGUUUGUAUAUUUAUUUCAUACUCUAAAAUAAAUAAUAACGUAUAAUAUUUCGUGAAAGUCGAUUUCUAUACCAAUUUCUACAAUCAUUAUCUUAUUUCAUACUGAUUUUACAAAGAAUUCAUACACAAAACAGUUUAAUAAAUAUAUACAAGAUAAUUUUCACUAUAUCAUUCUUAUGAAAGAUUACGAUCUAUAUUUAAAUCCUUAUUUAUGUUGUUACCAACACAAACUGAUUGUUCAAUAUUUUUUCUCUAAUAUCCAUUGACAUAUCUUUUAUUGUUAUAUACAAUGAGUAUUUAAUAAAGAAAUUGACAAUACUCCUUAUAUCAUAGUAUUUUUAAAGAACAAAAGGAAAAAUAGAAGAAAGAGAGUUUCUGAUGAAGGAGAACAAAUCGUUGGUUGAAUAAUGAUUCACAAUGAAACAAAUCAUUGGUUGAAUAUUUUAGGAAUUCUACGCGAAGGAAUAGAAUCGAAUUUUGGUUUAGACAUGAUUCACAAUGGAGAAUGAAUCAUGAUUACUACUAUAUAAUCUAACUUUACUUGUUUUUGAAAUAAGUAACAAAAAAUCUAAAACCUACCAAUUGUCAUGUCAUUUCAAGAUGGAAAUGAACAAAUCAAGAAAGAUAAUGACGAUUUGGAUACAAUGGUCCUAGAACAGUCAACAAAAUAUCCAAAGACUUCAAGAAUCAAGAAAAAGCUAACCUAUUAAAAACUGAAGUUGUUAACCAGGAAGACACUAACAAUGUUAAGAAGACUAGGAUCAAUGUCUAUCUUGCAAAAAACAAAGAAGGGAAAUCUUUUCAAUUCUCUGAAAGGCAAGUGGAUAGUUGAUCCUUCUGUCACGACCCAAAUCAGGGCCCUGACCGUGACGAGUAUUCCCCAACCCGAAGGCCCGGAACGCCCUCUGUCUAUCUGGUAAUCAUGCACAUAAUUCAUAAGAUCAAAGUAAUACGGAAUAGACACAAUAAUACGGAAACAUGGUCAACAAUUUAAAAUAGUUAAAGGCCUAAAAACAUGCCCAACAAUAUUUAAUAAAUAUCUGUAACAGUCUGCAAAAUCUCUACUGACAUACUAUCUAAAAAACUGGGACAAGGCCUCCAGCAGACCAAAAACCAUACUGAAAUAAAUACCUAAAUGACUAGGACUUCCGAAGCAAAGAAGGCUCACCAACUAAACUCUGAGACAAACCUGUCUAUAGACUCUACUGAGGAUCUGGACCCCUAGAUUGCGCCUUAAUACCUGGGAGGAAGGGGGGGUCAGCACAAUUGUACUGGCACGCGAAGUAAUUCAAAAUAGAGUAAUUGAACAUAUAUAUAUAUAUAAUACGUGAGAGAAAAUUUUCAUCAAACAUUAUGCAUAAAAUAGUUUCUGAAAACACAUAGGCACCUUCUGAAAAUAUGUAACAUGACUGUAAAUCUCAAACUCUGAUCUGUGUAUUACUUUUGAGUUAGUUGGUAUCCCCUACAAGUCUGAUAUUCCACAGGUGAUAUGGAAUCCACCAUUGACUCAGUGGGGAAACCUCAAACCCGAGUUGCUGCAAGGGUUGGUGUUCCUGAAUCUGAUACGCCACACUACACUUAAGUCAGUGUAUAAUAAUAUACCCGGGUCGGUAAACCACGGUUUUAGGCAAUGAGUUUCUUGAACUCAAGCCUUCUUCAGGGAACCACCUAACAUCUCUGUAUGCCCAUUUUUAACUUCUUCUGUACAUGCAACAUUCUGAAUGUCUAAAAUCAUGAUAGUUUAAAAUGUCUAUUAGUCUGAGUUUGAUAUAGCAUUGGUCUGAAUUGGUAUCAUCAUACCAAGACUUGCAAUUCAUGAUUUUUGAGCCAUAAUACAUUAAGCUAAAUAUUUCAUUUAAAUCAUAAUUUAGACCACCAAAAACAUGCAACUGAUAUAGAAGAUUUCUUGUUUUGAAACUCAAGUCAAAAUCAUGCAAAAACUUAAUCAAUAUAUGGUGGUCUAGUGCCUUUAGCAAAUCCAUGCACUCUUUCAUUUCAUGCAUUAUGAACAUUAAACAUUCAUGCUAGAUUCCCUCUUUAGUGACUUAAAACCACCUUAAAUCAUAACAAGAGUUCAAUCAUUUAAUAUAGUGCUUUUCAAGAAUGCAUUGCAAAAUAAUUUAUAUGCUAUGAGAAAUUUGAAAAAUUCAUAAUAAGAGGGAAUUCACCGAAAAUCAUGCUCUCAACAAGAAUUCAUUCUUAGAUACAUGGUUUCAUAUAUUCAUAUUCUCAAAUCACUUUGGGGAACGUCAAAAGACCAAAACAAUGAUGUUAAAACAUUUAAUACAUGAAUAUAUAUACAGAUUCAAAAAUACCAUUCUAAAACAUGAUUUUUCUAUGCCCAUGAGAAUUUAGGAAAACCUCGCGUACCUCUAUUUCAGAAAAUAAUGGGUGCUUCUUGAAGCCUGUGGAUUGGGAAUUCCGAAUCUCUAAUCAAUUUUGAAAACCCACGGUGAAAUCUUGAUUUAUUUAGGUUUUUAGUUUGAAACCCUUGAGAGUGUUCUUGAGAAUUUUUAGAUGAAUAUGGAUGUAUUUUGGAGAAUUGGGGACUGAAUUUCGUGUUUAUGGCUGAAUAAGGGUGGGAAAAGGACCAUUUUGCCCCAAAAACAGAGCGUUUAAGUCACUUGAAACCAUAAGAUAUGCGCCGCAUAUGAUAUCACAUAUAUUUACAUAGGUUCCGCAUAUGAUAUCGCCUAUAUUUACAUAGGCGCCACAUAUGAUAUCGCCUAUAUUUACAUAGGCGCCGCAUAUGCUAUUGCAUAUGCUUUCCAGUGGCCAUGUCUGAUUGGUUAGGAGAUGCAUACUACUUUGAAAGGCCAUAACUUCUUGCUCGGGUGUCGGAUAUUAAGAAAAUUGGUGUCGUUGGAAAGUUAACUCGAAGACCUAUCAUUUGACACAUAGUAGGCUCUCUAAUUCGAUAUAUACAGAGAGUUAUGGUUGAUAGAAUCUGACAUAAAUUACAACGUCCACUAAAACUUAAUCGAUCGAAAUAGUUUCAACUCAUCCUUGAGUUGAAGGACCUCUAUGGUCUAAAUUCAUGCUCAAAUGGAUUCAUAUACUACAUAAACAUGUCAAAUUGGCAUAGGAUUUAAGGCUCUAGGAUUAUGAAUGCGUUAGACUCAUGGUUUUUAUUCUAGGCCAAAAUACGGGUUGUCAUAUUAUCUCCUCCUUGGGAUCAUUCGUCCCCGAAUGAUGGAUAGAAUGUCAAAGUCUUAAGGGUAUGGGAUAACGCGGACAUAAUAUGUUCCUUAAGAAAGAAUACACUGAUCAGAAAUAUGACUAUAAGAUUGGAACUACUGAUGUUUUAAAUGCUUAUGCCGGACAUGCAUAUCCGAGGCAUGGAAUACACAACUGAAGCUACUCAUAGGCUGAAUUCUCAUAAUGAAUCAUGCCUAUCUGAUGCAUGGAUCUGUGACCUAGUUGUUCUCAUAUAUGCAGGACUGAAUACACUGAUAAGCUCAACUUUUCUAUUGAACAUGCAUUUCUAAUGCAUGCAUAUCUGACUGAACUAACAUAUGAAUGUAUGGAUAAAUAUGCAAUAAUAACUGAUUUGAAGCUUGUAAUAAGAAUCUAUGCAUACAACUGAAUAGGGUAUCUCCCCCUUGGUACCCUAUGUCCCUCUAUGAAUGCUCAAUUCACUAAGAUACUCGAAAAACUGAGGCGAUGCACAGGGCGCCUACGAAUUGAAUAAUAACUGAACAUCUAGAAUCCGAAUUUAAUGCAUAACACAUGAACUGGGCUAUAUUCGUAACUACUGGUAUGCUCUAUAUUGGAAUAGUAGCAUGUCUGAGAUUUUGAGUAGCAUGAAUAAGUCCAAAGACGAGAAAAUAAGUUAUGCGAAUCUAACUGCUAAACUGACUUAUUGGCCAUAUAGACUGAAUUAUACUACACCCUCAUACUUAACUGGAGUAUCUCUUCAUCACAAUUCUCUAAAGAAAUUCUAGCAGUAAUAGGGAGCCAUGAAUCUUGGGUAUAGAUUACAUAAGACAUCCAACUAAGCAAUCACCACAUUGACACUACUCUGCAGUCUGGAACAUAGGUAUAUAACUCCUGAAUUAGGAUAGAAUUACCAGGCUUUUGGCAUUACAACCUCUUACUUUCAAGAUUAGAACACUUCUUGAAUAUCACUUAACUAUACUAUUCUCCUUAAAUAUCAUAUUCAUUCAACUCAGCUUAAAAUUCUCAUAUGAGUAUUGACAAAUCUUUCUACUAAUGUCGGAAAUAACUUAAUCCCUUCGUCGUGAUCAAGCCUAACUCUAAGUCACAAAAAUACAACAUGCCAGACCAUGCUAUUAUUCUAAACCAUAUGAUGUAACGUUCUAUAUCUCCUUUAAAGAACACAUCCUAAGUAUAACAUGCCUUACCACUUCAAUGACUACUCUGAACCUUUACUAUGAAGUCCCUAGUGCAUAUAGCGUUCCUUUACAAUAAUAUCAACAUGUCAUUCAAGCCUAUCUUUAUAACCACAUAUGAACUUCAAAGAAAACACUCAUAAAGGCAUACUUCACAGAUUCUCUAAACCACUAUCUAUAUCACUCCCACAAGCUACCCCAAGAACAUACACAUACAAAAUUCCACUAACCAUCAUAUAAAUAAGAACUUAGCCCCAAAUCUUACUUCAUACUUAUGGCCUUAUUUAAACAAACAUACUAUGAUCUUCUAUCAACAAGGAAUAAUUACUCACCACUACUAUUAUCGCAUAAGGAGGAGUCACAAAAAAGGUUAGAACAUAAGAUCUGAAGGAAUGGAAUGAUACUAUAUAAAGCUUGACACUCAUCUGAGGCCUGAGGAAUAGCAAGACAACAACAGGCACUCACCAAAUCGCUCUGAAUUUAGGGUAUUCAUGGCUAUAAGUUGAAUCUGGCCAAUCAUUUGGCGUAAAACAUGAGUUAUGGAAAUGGAGCACAUUAUAAAGCGUGAGUAUAUGACUUUAUAUCAUAUGUAUGAAUGCGAACUGAUCAUGGAACUAAAUCGUAAAACAUGAGUAGGUAUUAGAAUCACUGAGAAAUACUGAGAUAGGAAUGGGUUGAGAUUCACCCUUACUUUUUGAUGUUCUAUAUCAUCAUGACAUCACUAAAAGAAUCUGAGAGUCUUACUUGGUUAUUCGUUUAGUCAUCUCCCCCUUAGCUUCAAGCCAUCAUCUUAAGUUUUUUGGGAGAUACCUUACUAGACUUUAAACUUAACUGCACUCACUGCACUCUAGGUUCUGAAAUAUGAUAAUACACAAAAUUAAUAAAACUUAACCCAAAAGACCACAUAUAAGAGUGGAACACCCACUGCAAAUACUACCUGCUGAGGCACACUCUAUCAUUCUGUAACCCCAAUAGUCAUAAUCUAUUACUCGAACACUUACUAACUUCGAAUCUUCAUGAGUAUCCCCAAAGUUGAAGUGCACACCCUCUAGUGCCUCUACUCUUAUUUCNNNNNNNNNNNNNNNNNNNNNNNNNNNNNNNNNNNNNNNNNNNNNNNNNNNNNNNNNNNNNNNNNNNNNNNNNNNNNNNNNNNNNNNNNNNNNNNAUAGCAACUUCAAACUUAUUUUCCUCUACCAUGAGAAUCAAGUUCAUAUCAAAAGGCUCAACGCUAUCAAUCAAAGGUCCUUAACUUGGCUAUUUAGAACACCAUAUACCAUCUAGCUAGUCUUUUUCCACCUAGCAACUCAACGGUACCAGUAGCAACACACAACAUGUAAUAGCUUUAGAAAAAUACUACAACUUCAUACCGCCUUGGGCAUACUUCUACAUCACAUAUACAACGUCAUACUUCAUUAUGAAUCAAAUAAACUUAGGCACUUUCAUACAGUGUUCAAGCCUAUAGAUCACUUCCAUAUAACUAGUAUCAUUAACUAAGAAAUCAUCACAUCUAUCUCCAUGGCCAUCAAUUGUUUCAAACUUAAUGUCUAGUGCUAAACAUGAUUUACAACCAACCUUACACACAAUCCUCACCUAGAAACUAUGAAAUAAACAUCAAGAAACACUAGUACACUAGAAAUUCAUAACCACAAUAAUCNNNNNNNNNNNNNNNNNNNNNNNNNNNNNNNNNNNNNNNNNNNNNNNNNNNNNNNNNNNNNNNNNNNNNNNNNNNNNNNNNNNNNNNNNNNNNNNNNNNNNNNNNNNNAUAAUAUAAAUAUACUAAUCCUUCAAAUUGGGAUAUUCUACCCAAAUACUUCAAAAAUAUACUACAUACUUUCUCACAAGUAGUAUUAGUUUACAACUACCAAUGAGAAGAAGGUUAAGGGGUAAGGUCACAUAAUAGACAUGAUCAACCUUAAGCUUAUAUUAUAACCAUACAAUCUUAUCUACUUAUACGGCUUUCUCACAUCACACUUACUUACCCCAAUGGGCAUUUAGACUACCUUCAGAUACCCCAUAUGACAAUGAGUCUAUACUUACAACCUACUGGCUAAUCUAGCCAUUUUUAUUCAUAGCCUAUAAGGGGUUUCUAUAACCACCUUAAGUAUCCACUUUGGGCUCUUUCUCUAUUUUAAAAGGAAGAAAACAAAUAACAUGCUGAGUCAACGCUUCCUCCACGGACUACCAUACAAUUCAUAAAUGGUACCACCAUAUUAGUCUACCACCACGAAAGGGUAAAUCAUUCUCAAUCAACAAUUAUUCAACUAUAAAUAUUUAAUCACAAAAGUCAUCCUCACUCUGACCUCUAACCUUAUGACUUCAUAUCACAAACUUCUUGGUCUAAUUUCACUACCAAUAGGUCAUGACACCAACACUCUAACUUAUACUACUACUUGGAGUUCCAACAAACACAAGAACAAUAAGAUGAAUAGCAAGUUGCUAGUGAAUCAAAAUAGGCCUCAUACGGCUUCACUAGACUUUUGUUUUCAACAACACAAUGAUAUCAAGAUUACAAGAGAUAGAAGCUUGAUACACAAUAUUCAAUGACUCAAGAAUACACAUUUUACACUUGUUUUAACUCUCAUAAGAAUGAGGGCAUAAUUUUACGCUAGGGAACUCCUCUUCCGUCCUUUGUGGGACUUCUGAAAUUUUAGCUAGAUAAUCGAAGAAUAUCUGGAAACACCAGAGUGAGGAAGAAAUUAGGAUAACUUUUCUUUUUGUAUGGGUGACACCAUAGAAUGAAUUAGAGUAUGAAGGAGGAACAUUCUGACUUUAUAGCACGAACUAGAACAUGAAGAAAGAGAGACAUUCCUAAAUGCCUUGUAGCCUUCUACUUAUAAGUGUGGCACGUUGCACACCCAUAAAUAAGACUCUACCUGAUGCAAUUUUGCAUUCACCCUGGGAAUAUGAACCAUGCUUUGAUACUAAGUAUGUCACGACCCAAAUUGAGGCCCUGGCCGUGACGAGCAUUCCCGAACCCAAAGGCCCAGAAUGCCCUCUAUCUAUCUGGUAAUUAUGCACAUAAUUCAUUUAAUCAAAGUAAUACAGAAUAGACACAAUAAUAAGGAAACAUGGUCAAAAAUUUAAAAUAGUUAAAGGCCGAAAAACAUGGCCAAUAAUAUUUAAUAAACAUUUGCAAUAGUCUGCAAAAUCUCUACUGACAUACUAUCUGAAUAACUUGGACAAGGCCCUCAGCAGACCAAAAACCAUACUGAAAUAAAUACUUAAAUGACUAGGCCUUUUGAAGCAAAGAAGGCUCACUAACUGAACUCUGAGACAACCCUUUCUGUAGACUCUACUAAGGAUCUAGACCCCUAGACUGCACCUCAGUACCUGGGAGGAAGGGGGGUCAACACAAUUGUACUGGCACGUGAAGCAAUCCAAAAUAGAGUAAUUGAACAUAUAUAUAUAUAAUACGUAAGAGAAAAUUUUCAUCAAACAUUAUGCACAAAAUAGUUUCUGAAAACACACGGGCACCUUCUAAAAAUAUGUAACCUGUCUGUAAAUCUCAAACUCUAAUCUGUGUAUUACUUCUAAGUUAGGUGGUAUCCCCUACAAGUCUGAUAUUCCACGGGCGAUAUGGAAUCCGCCAUUGACUCGGCAGGGAAACCUCCAACCCGAGUAUGAUGUAAGGGUUGGAGUUCCUGAAUCUGAUACGCCACACUACACUUAAGUCAGUGUAUAAUAAUAUACCCGAGUCGGUAAACCGCGUUUUAGGCAAUGAGUUUCUUGAACUCAAUCCCUCUUCAGGGAACCACCUAACAUAUCUGUAUGCCUAUUUUUAACUUUUUCUGUACAUGCAACAUUAUGAAUGUCUAAAAUCAUGAUAGUCUGAAAUGUCUAUUAGUCUGAGUCUGAUAUGACAUUGGUCUAAAUUGGAAUCGUCAUACCAAGACUUGAAAGACAUGAUUUUUGAGCAAUAAUAUAUUAAGCUAAUGUAAUACCCCGCAUGUUUCUAAGCUUGGAAAUGAAUAAGUAUUCCUACGUAUAAAAUCUCCUAUUUUGGGAUUUAUAAUUGAGUACAUGACUUACAAUGAAUAUCCUAGUGAUUGGAUAGCUUAUGAUGCAUUAAGCAUGUUUAUAUGAGUCACUUAAGGUAAUACAAGCUAAGAGUUUUUGAAUCUAUUAAGUUUUAGUAUUUGACUUUGCAAGGUUCAUCUUUGAAUGAGUAUAACUCGAUGUUAAUGUGGUAUUUUAGCUGAUUUAGACCCACCAAAUUGUAUAGAAUUGAAUUAGCUUUCCAAUGAUACCAAUUUCACCUUAAUCCAAUACCCGAGCAAAAAGUUAUGCCUAUUUUCAUGAGAGACAGUAAGGAUAGGCGAUUGGUUAGGCGCCACCCAACCCAAGCAUAGGCAAUUGGUUACGCGCUGCCCAACAUAGAUUAGGAAAUCACUUGGGUGCUACCUAAGUCAAUUCCAGGUGCCAAAAACACUUCGUUUUGAGUUAUUUUAAGGGUAAUUAAGUCUUUUAACACUCCUUACACGUCCCUAAACUUAAAACUACGAAAUAUAUAGCUUAUAAACAUAUUACAACCCUAUUAUCAUCUCAAAAAUCAUCAUCCAAGAGCACUAAAAGAGAAAAAACAACUAGGGUUACGUAACUAAGCUUGACGAUCCGAUUUCAAGGAAAUUCCUCCAUCAAUCAUCAAGAAUCUUCCAUUGAAGGCAUGCGUGAGUUGAUUUAUGGAUCCCUUUCAUCCAUAAAGCUCAAAAAUCCUCUUUUUCAUUAUAAAGUAUGAUUUCUAUAUUUUUGGGUGUUGAUGAUCAUGUUGUUGAUAUUGGGUGAUUCCCAAGAUGGAAUCUUUAUAUGUUUUUUCUAGAAAUCAUGCAAUAUAGAUAAAUUAUGACUAAGUGAAGGAUUCAUGAUAUGCCCGUACGUUCCAAUGACUUCUAUGUUGAUAAUGUGCCUUGUAAAUGUUGUUGGAAUACUCAUGAACUAUUCUUAUAAGACUAUGCUAUGUUUACUUGCAAAUCCUACUUAUGAACAAGAUGUAUGAUAACUAUGCAAUCCAUAUGAGCUUCCAUGCUAUUGGUAUGUGUUGCCAAUAUUAUUAUGCAAUGAACAUGAUAUUAAGAUUGUGCAAGUACUUCCAUGUGGUAUGAAAUCCUUUCCAUGCAAUACAUUGUUGAUAACCAUGCUUAGUAUGAGAUCCCUACUUAUGAUAUUAUAAAUUAUGGACUCUGCUCUUAUGAUCAAUUCAGUCAUAUGUGUCAGUUUCCUUCCAUCAAGUCCUAGGGGUACUUGUACCCGAAAACUAUAGUUGUGUGCCUAGAGCCAUGUCAUGUUUUACGAUAUCUGAACUCAAGCUAUGAUUCCAUAGACUCCAGUCAGUCAUGUGACUCAGGAAAACCUUAUGAUCUUUGUCAGUUGUUAGAUAUCAUUAACAUUCUGCCAAUCAACGAAAUUCAGUAAGAUUAAGUCAUGCACAGUCAGUUAUUCAUGUCCAGUUCCUCCAGAUAGGAGUAGAGGUUAGCACCGAGUGAACCCAAGGAUGGGAACUCACCCGCCAGUUCAGGGUGUGAUUCUUAGUAGUCAUCCUUGUGUUCCAGAAUUACGUAGCCAGGGUAGGUUGAGACAUCUUAACCCAUCAGAUUAGGGUUGAUGAGGUGGCUUAGCCCAUCAAUUUAGGGUUCCUAUCGUUCUCAUUGAGUACCCGCCAGAUAAAGCUCACUCACAAGCUGUCCUUACCCAUGGCACGGUAUUGACACCCCUCUAGUUGGGGCAGAGAUUGGACCCCAGCUUAGCCAUAACGGCAUACAGGGGGCAUGUCGGUGAAAUACUACUUUCCACAAUUUCAGUAUCAGUCUCAGUAAAAGAACUCAGGGUGUUCUUCAGAUUUCAGCAUAUACAAGACUGUCAGAUACAGUCAUCUAUGAUAUCAGUUUCAGUAUCAGUCAUGACAAUUAUUAGUAAACCAUGUAUUAGAUUACAGGUCAUGCUAUCACGUAUUCACGAUCUCAGUUUCUAUAUAUGUGUGUUUGCACUUCCAUGUUCAUAUUAGUCAGUCAGUGUUGUUCAUGCAUGAAACCCUUUAUGUUCAGCUUCCUCGUAUACUCAGUACUCCAGUUGUACUGAAGCAUUUGUGCUAUGGUGCUUUCUUUUCAUGUUACACCAUAGGUUCCGAGAUACGAGCUCUAGCCCAGCAGUAGCGGUAGCAUUCCAAUUGCAGAGACACAGUGAGUCCUCAUUGAUUCGAGGAUAGUAUGAUUUGAUUCAUUUAUUUAUUUCUUCAGUUCAGUUUUAUGGAGUUAGUUGGAAACAUGUUCCUUCAACUCCUUAUUCACAUAGUUUAGAGGCUUUUAGAUUUAUGUUCAGAUUUACGUUCAGAUUGAGUUAUUUUGGGUAUUUUCACCGACAUGAUUGUAUUCAGUUGAACCUUAUGACCUUACAGUUCUAUGUAUUUUGUAUUAUUAUAUUAUGAUUUGCAGUAUACAAGUACAGAUAUCAGUCAUGGAUUAGCUUGUGGUCCCUCGGGGUCACGAGCACCGUGUAGUAUUCCGGUUCAACGAAUCGAGGUAUUAUAGCUAAAUAUUUUAUUUAAAAUAUAAUUUAGAACACCAAAAAUAUGCAAUUGAUAAAGAAGAUUUCGUGUUUCGAAACUCAAGUCAAAAUUAUGCAAAAACUUCAUCAACAUAUGGUGGUCUAGUGCCUUUAGCAAAUCCAUGCACUCUUUCAUUACAUGAAUUAUGAACAUUAAACAUUCAUGCUAGAUUCCCUCUUUAGUGAUUUAAAACCACCUUUAAAUCAUAACAAGAAUUCAAUCAUUUCAAAUAGUGCUUUUCAAGGAUGCAUUGCAAAACAAUUCAUAUGCUAUGAAAAAUCUGAAAAAUUUAUAAUAAGAGGGAGUUCACCGAAAAUCAUGCUCUCAACAAGAAUUCAUUCUUAAAUACAUGGUUUCAUACAUUUAUAUUCUCAAAUCACUUUGGGGAAGGUCAAAAGACUAAAGCAAUGAUGUUAAAACAUUUAAUACAUGAAUAUAUACAUAGAUUCAAAAACCCUAUUCUAAAACAUGAUUUUUCUAUGCCCAUGAGAAUUUAGGAAAACCCCGCGUACCUCUAUUUCAGAAAAUAAUGGGUUAUUCUUGAAUCCUUUGGAUUGGAGAUUCCGAAUCUCUAAUCAAUUUUGAAAAUCCACAGUUAAAUGUUGAUUUAUUUGGGUUUUUAGUUUGAAACCCUUAGGUGUGUUAUUGAGAAUUUUAGAUGAAUGUGGAUGUAUUUCGGAGAAUUGGGGACUGAAUUUUGUGUUUAUGGCUGAAUAAGGGUGGGAAAAGGACCAUUUUCCCCCAAAAACGGAGUGUUUAAGUCAUUUGAAACCAUAAGAUAUGCGCCGCAUAUGAUAUCACAUAUAUUUACAUAGGCGCCGCAUAUGAUAUCACCUAUAUUUACAUAGGCGCCGCAUAUGAUAUCGCCUAUAUUUACAUAGGCGCCACAUAUGUAUCAUAUAUGCUUUCCAGUGGUCAUGUGCGAUUGGUUAGGUGAUGCAUACUACUUUGAAAGGACAUAACUUCUUGCUCGGGUGUCGGAUUUUAGGAAAAUUGGUAUCAUUGAAAAGUUAACUCGAAGACCUAUCACAUAGUAAGCUCUCUAAUUCGACAUAUACAGAGAGUUAUGGUGGAUGGAAGCUAACACAAAUUACAACGUCCACUAAAACUUAAUCGAUCGAAAUAGUUUCAACUCGUCCUUGAGUUGAAGGACCUCUAUGGUCUAAAUUCAUGCUCAAAUGGAUUCACAUACUACAUAAACAUGCCAAAUUGGCAUAGGAUUUAAGGCUCUAGGAUUAUCAACGCAUCAGAAUCAUGGUUUUUAUUCUAGCCUGAAAUGUGGGGUGUUACACUUUCCUUCCAUCAAUACAAAUGUAAUGAUUGCAUCACGACAUCCGGAAAGUGCUAUUAAGAUUAGCUUUAAUUCUAUCUGAGAGGGAUGGGNNNNNNNNNNNNNNNNNNNNNNNNNNNNNNAAGAGUACCCAGGACAAUUAACUAUGAAGAAAUAUUGCAUCUGAAGAAAGUCUUUUCCUUGUAUCACUUUUCUUUUAAUAGCACAAUUUUUUAAAGUAACUAUUUCAUGCUUUAAUAUAGCCUAAAAUUCCCUUCCUUUUUAUGUGUGAUCUAUGUUUAGCCUAAAUUUCAAAAAAAGGAAUACGUAGGCGGCCUAUGUCGUCUCCAUUCAACCCCAUAGGAGAAUUUACCCUUUUCUUUUAUGUACGAACUAUUUUAGACUUGAAUUUCCAAGAAAGGGAUACAUGGAUAGCCAAUGUCGGCUUCGAUAAACCCCAUAAUAGAAUUUACCUUUUUCUUUAUGUAUGAACUAUGUUUAACCUAAAUUCUCAAGAAUAAGAUAUGUAGGUAGUCUAUGUUGAUUUCGUUCAAUCCUUUAGGAAAAAUACCUUUCUCUUUUUAUGUACGAACUGUGUUUGACAUAAAUUCUCAAGAAAGAGAUAUUUAUGUAGCCUAUGUCGGCUUUGGUCAACCCUUUCGGAAACUUCAACUUUCCCUUUUUAUGUAUGAACUAUGUUUGACCUGAAUUCUCAAGAAUGAGUUACGUAGAUGGCCUAUGUGGGGUAGUAAACAAAUUUCAUGAGUCAUUGUGGAACCUACUUUAUCCCACCAGUAGGUAAGACAAACUGAAGCCCAAAGCUAUAAACAAUAGGCUAAUUGGUGAAAAAGUGACAUAAUAUUCAAAAAUGUGCAAUUAAAUAAAUUACAAGGCGUAAAACAUUAGAAUAAUAACAACAUAAAGGGACAGAAAUAAAAAAGAAGAAUUAUAACAUCCCCUGACCUAGUAAAGUCGGUACAAGAGACACUAAUACAAAAAUAUGAGUAUUGUACAAGUCAACAUACAAUAGUCUCAAAAAUAGAAACAAUAUGCAAAAACAAAAGAUAGAGAAAUGGUCUACUCCGUCUUUAAGAUCUUACCUUAUCUCCAACUCUGACCAGCACAAACACAGCGUCAGCGGAGGCAUCUAGUUCUUGGAUCUGCACCAAAAAGGUACAGAAGUGUAGUCUGCGUACCAAAACUAUAGGUACUCAAUAGGCAUCAUCAGCGGAUUGAGCUAAAUUAUAAUAUAAAUAUAAUAAAGUCUAAGAUAAUAGGCUAAGUCAAGAGUAAAGGAAAAACAUGGAAUAAUGCACAAAAUACUAAAACCAAACAACCAUAAUAUUACUAUCAAGGAAAAGCAUAACUAUCUCUACAUAAUGGCCCUCCAUAAGCCAAAAUUUGCGAAUAAAGUAAAUAACCUAACAGAGGACCCUAUAAGCCUGAAGGGUGCAAUCAAGGAGAAAAAAUAAUCAAAAUUAUACAAAUUAACCAUAUAUUGAAAUCAUAAUCAUGGAUCCUUCAUAACGUAAACAUCACACUCAAACAAGUCCCAUAACCAUUAUAAAUAACCUCUAAACGCCAGACUUAAGCCUUAGCUUGCAUCUUGAAUACUGAACUUGAAUAGGAACUAAUAUCAUGAAUGAUGGACAUGAACUAAAACUAGUAUCCCAUAUACCGGACUUUAACCAAAACUAAUAUCACCUAUAACGCUAGAAUCGAACUGAUCUUAUCUUCUCCUAAAUAUCAAUCUAGAAUGAACAAUUAUAUGCCUAGAACAUCCUCCGUAUCAAUAGUGUGAUUAGGGUAAUAUGAAUGGCCUAUUGAGUUUGCAAGGACCUAAUAGUAAUCUUGGACUAAAGUGGGCUGAAGGGGCCCUCUUCUAACCCCGAUAAUUCAUUCUAAUGAAAAUUCUACCUAAACUAGACUAGGAUGUCAGAUUUCACUAUAGGAUACUAAAUAAGUCUCAUUGGGUUCUAAUAUACCAAUUCUACCCUAUAAAUGAGUGGCUACGUUGAUUAUACCUAAAUACGGCUCCUAAAUCUGCAAUUUACACUAAAUAUAAUUCUAAGACCUAAUUCCCAACCCAAAACUAGCAUAAUAUCAUAUCAAUACUAUUUUCAAGCACAAUCCAGGAGAAGGGUAACCCAGCAUACCUGGAUGCCAAUGAAAGAUUGAUGAAGUUCACUAAAUCAAUGAUUUGCCCUUCAAAAGUUUUCGGACGAUGCCACACCAUCAAAAUGGUAAUCUACUCAUUAAUACAAGAACAACGAUAGCCAUAGUGUAUUUUAAUGCUUUAGGUCCAAAGUCAAGAUAAAAUCCCCUGUGGGGCUCUCUUGUAGAAAUGCACUUUUGAAAUCGUCAACACGUCCCUCACUGCUCAAGAAACAUUUAAUUUCAUGAAUGGGUAAAUUUUGAGCUCAAACGAUACUAAAAUCAACCCAAUAAUAAUCUAAAGAUUUGGGUCUAUAUUGAAAAAGUAAACCAUUAAUUAAAAAAAAACUUAUAGUGUUUGUUAUGAAGAAAUGAUUAUCAAGAGUUCAUAAUUAUACCACAAUCUCUCAAUAAUCAGUCCUAAUUUUCCACUCUCUAGGGCUUUUUAGCUCUUGGACUUGUGAAAAAGAGGUAGAAAAUUAGGUACUUAAUGCCCUCCAAGUGCUGCUUAAGCAGAUGAGAAUUUAAUGCACUCAGCGCACCGCUUAAGAAGUCACUUGACCGGUUAAGCGAUCCCUUCCUUGGUCCGAACCUCCGCUUAAGAAGUCAGGAUGCCACUUAAGUGACGUCCGCUUAAGCGAUCGAGCCUUUAUUAAAGCUGUCUGAUAGGGUUGGCCCUGGCUGCUUAAGAAACCACUUGGACACUAAAGAGGCCUACGAUUAAGUGAUCAGUGGUUCGCUUAAGCGGAUGCAUCAUCUUAAACUUGAAAAAAUUAUAAGUUCCCACCGACCCUCAGGAUGCAUUCAGAAUUAGAGAACAUAAACAAACUAUGAUGUCCUAUCAAAUUUGACAUUCUGGAUUCAAUGGAGCCAUCAAAAUUUCCAUUUAAGGUUUCUUCAACAAAAAGUGGGAUCCACACCCAUGGGCAAUUUUUAUCAAAUUCCAACCAAUAGCCCGAAAUGAGUCUAAAAGCCUUGGAACCCAAACUAAAGGUACCUCUAGGAUAAAAUCAACAUUUUAGAGUUGAUGGAACCCUCAAAAUUUGCAUACAAGGUCGCUAAACUAAAGUUUUCACUUUGUAGCAGACUCUUACAAAUGAAGACUUCAAAAUAGAGAAUUAGCUCUAUAAAUAGAAUAAAUUGCCCAAUAAUUAAACUGCCAGCUCUAGGAAGUUAUCAAUGACUUAGGGAAGAUAUAGGAAAACUCUAAAUGGCAAAAAUUUGGGGAAAUAUAGAAAAUGACUUUAAGGGUCAUUAUUAAUAUCCACUAUUAAUAGAAAUUUCAUCUGCAAAAGUAAAGGGUUAUUAUGUACCUGGUGGCUUAAACAUAUGGGGAUAAUGGGCCCGUAUCUCUCUCUCGAUAUUCUAUGUAGCCUUAUCUACUAGAAUCACUCUAGAGCCCAACUACUUGACGUCCCUGGCUAAUAUGAAUAGUAAAUCCUCCAUGAAGAUCAAUCUCUCGUCUAACUUAACUUAGUCCCACCGAAGUGUAUAAGACUUAUCGGGAACUUAUAACCACAACAUGGAAGCAUGGAAAGUGGAUGAAGAGCAUAAGUCUAACUUAGAACCUACAACUCCAUCUGUGCGAAGGAUUUCAAAAGGUCCAAUAUAUCUAGGACUAAGAUUUCCUUUCCUCCUAAACCUCAUCACACCUUUCAUAGGUGAUACUCGAAGGAAUGCUCAGUCUACGACUCCAAACCUCAAAGCACAAAGUUUGUAUCAACAUAUGCUUUUUGUCUACUUUGAGCUGCCCUAAACCUAUCCUGAAUCACCCUGACUUUGUCCAACGUCUCCUGAAGUAAGUCAGUACCAUGACACCUAAACUCGGAGGUCUUAAACCAUCUAAUAGAAGAUCGACAAUGCAACUAUAUAAUGCCUUAAAUGGUGGAAUCUUAAUACUCAAAUAGUAGAAAGUAUUGUACACAAACUUCACCAAAGCUAAGUGCUACUCCAACUGACAUUCAAAAUCCAUAACAUAAGCUUAGAGCAUAUCUUCGAGAACCUGAAUACUCCACUCUAAAUGUCCAGCUGUUUGAAGGAGGAAAGCGAUACGGAGAUCCACCUGAGUACCCAACUCUUCCUGAAAAUCUCUCAAGAAGUUAGAAGUGAAUACUGAGCCCUGGUCUCAAAUAAUAUAUAUUGGCAUUCCAUGCAAACGAACUAUCUUACGAUCAUAAAUACAGGCUAAAUUCUGGGCACUAAAGAACACCUGAAUAAGAAAGAAAAGUGCCAAUUUGGACAACCUAUCUACAAUGACCCAAAUAUGAUUGGAACCACGGGAAGUGCAAGGUAGACCACUAAAGAAGUCCAUAGAUAUCCUCUUCCAUUUUCACUUGGGAAUGGGAAUUCUUUGAAUCGGGACACUAGAUGCUCGACCUUCACCUGUUGACAACAUAGGCUAUGAGUUACAAAGUCUACCACACCUCUCUUCAUACCACUCCACUAAUAGUGCUACCUCAAAUCUAUAUACAUCCUAGCUGUACCAGGGUAAAUAGAGUUCCUGAAGCUAUAAGCCUCAUAAAAUAUCGACUAAAUCUGGUCACUAACCUUCGAAACACAAAUGCGGCCAUCAUAUCUCAGAAAACCUUUAAAAUCUAUAGCAGCCCUCCGGGACUUACCUCUUAACACCUGAUCAGGAAUGAUACAAAGCCUUAUAUCCUUAAACUAAUGACUCUAAAUUAGCUCAAGUAAGGUAGAAUUCUCCUUUACACUAGAAAGAAUCCUCCUGGUGUCAGAAAUAUCAAGUCACACCAUCAAUUUGGCUAUAGAGUAGAUGUCCUAUGCCAACCGCCUUUCAGAAUUUGAAAUAGAAGACAAACUGACCAUACUCGCAGUCUUCUAGCUCAAAGCAUCUUCUACCAUAUUUUUCUUACCCGGAUGCAAUAAAAUAGAUAUGUUAUAAUCCUUCAACAACACUACCCAGCUAUGCCUUCUAGAAUUAAACUCUCACUGAAUCAUAAGAUGUUGAAGACUACUAUGAUCGAUAUAGAUCUCAUAAUACAUGACAUAUAGAUAAUGCCUCCAAAUCUUAAGUGCAAAAACUACCACCACCAACUCUAGAUCAUAAGUUGGUAGUUGAGCUCGUGCACCUUAAUCUGCCUUGAUGCAUAAGAAAUAACUUGACCCUACCAACACUGGAAGUAUCAUAAUAUAUGGUGAAUCCCUCACCUUCAAUGGGAAGAGCCAAUAUAUAAGUUGAAGUGAGAAAUCCCUUGAGAUCCUGAAAGAUCGACUUAAACUCCUCAAAUUAUUGGAAAGGGACCUCUUUUUAGGUAAAUCUAGUCACCGGCCCUAUAAUAUUAGCGAGGCCCUCCACAAACUGUUUUUAAUAACCAACUAAACUAAUGAAUCUACAUACUUCAAACAAAGAUGUAGGUUUGGAGAAACCACGAAUAGCCUCACUCUUUGCUCGAUCCACCAUAUUCUCAUCCUUAGACACUAUAUUUCCUAGGAAUGUCACCGACUUGAGGCCAAACUCACACUUUGAGAAUUUGUCCAAAAGCCUAUAUUCUAUUGAAGACUAGAGCACAAUCCUCAAAUACUUCAUAUGGCCCUCUCGAGUCCUCAAUUACACAAAGAUGUCAUUGAUGGAAAUAAUCACGAAGAAAUCCAAAUAAGGUCUAAACACGUGGUUCAUUAAAUCCAUGAAUGUAGCUGGGGCAUUGAUCAACCCAAAAGACAUCACCGAGAACUCAUAAUGACCAUAAUGAGUCCUCUAGGCUGUCUUUGAGAUGUCCUCAAUCUGAAUCCUCAACUAAUGAUAACCAAAUCUUAAGUCAAUUUUAGAGAACACCACUGCUCCCUAAAGUUGUUAAAAUAAAUCAUCAACGUGAGGUAAACGAUACCUAUUCUUCACCAUCACCUUACAAAGUUGUAUGUAGUCAAUACACAUAAGCAAGGAACCAUCUUUCUUCUUCACAAACAAGAUAGGAGCACCCCAAGGUGGCAUACUCAGUCUAAUAAAGCCCUUACCUAAAAGAUCUUAAAGAUAAGAAUUCAAUUACUUAAGCUUGAUGGGAGCCAUAUCGUAAGGUUCCAUAAAAAUAGGUCGGGUGCCCAACUCAAUAUCAAUAAUAAACUAAAUAUUGGGUUCAAGAAGAACACAAGGUAGAUCGGCAGGAAAAACAUUAGGGAAAUCACAGACUAUAGGAAUUGAGUCAAGUAAGGGAUUCUCUAUAAUAACAUCAUAAAUUUAAGUGAUAUAAGACUUGCAACUCCUUAAUAUAAGUCUCCUAGCCCAAACAUAAGAAAUAAUCCCUAUUAGAUCACAACUAAUAGAUCCCUACCACACAACCAGAGGUUGGGAUCUUGGCAAGAAAAUCCAAAACCACAUGAUAGGGAGAUAAUCAAUCCAUGCCCAGAAUCAUAUCCAAAUCAACUAAACUAACACAGUAAGAUUAGCCUGAGUAUCAAACUCUCAAAUUGUCAUAAUAAAUGACCUAUAAACUUGAUCCACUACUAAAGAAUCACCCAUAAGAGUAGAUACACAUAACGACAAGAUAAAGAUUCCCUAGAUAACUCUGACCAUGGUGCAUAACAGGUAGAUACAUAAGAAUUUGUCAUGACUUAAUUUAUGAGUCAUGAAAGUGCCUACUAAAUCUCACACAUAGGUAAGCGAACCCAUAACAAGAAGCUAAUACAAUGGGUUAAUUUAGAGAAAAAUGGCCAACACAAUUUCAAGAACACAAUACAUAAAUUAACAAAGCAUUCUACGUAGAUAAAAUAAUAAAUACACGAUACCAUCCCAUGACCUAGUUGAGCCAGUACAAGAGCAUCUAACAAUAAAAAUACAACCCAAGUAUCAAGAGUAGUCAAUACAUCUAUCACAAAUCAGAUGCCUGAAUAUAGGAAGAUAGAUAAAAAUGAGAGACUCAAACUUCAAGAGCUUACCCUAUAUCUGAAUAAUAACAUCACACGAACAUGAAUCAACAACGACAACUAGUACUCAAAUCUACACCAAAAAGGUACAAAAGUGUAGUAUGAGUAUCAAAACAACAGGUAAUAAGUAGGCAUCAUUGUCUGACUAGUCAUGAUAUAAGUAUGAUAAAAUGCAAGAUAACAUAACUAAGUCAAGGUAUAGACAAACAUAAAAUAGCCCCGACAUCACUGUGCAUAAAUAAAAAAUAAAUCAGAAUAAUAACAUAAAGCAUCAAAACAUACAAUAAUAUCUAUAAAAUUGGCUCCCACAUAUCAAUUUGUGCAAAAAAAUAAAUAACUCAUCACAGACUCCCAUAUGCCUAGAGAGUUCACUCAAAGAUAGAAUAAGGCAACCAUCCAUCGGUUAUAAAUAACCAACUCGAUGUUUAACCAUUAUUUCACAAUUUAGAAACAUAUGACAAAGUACCCACAUCCCAUACUUUACCAACAUAUAGCAACCAUAUCAUCCUUUAUACACUAGUCCAUUAAUCAACUAUCCAUCUCUUAUCACUAAUCAAUUAUUGCCUAGUCAUCAUAUAUCCACUAGCCAUCAUUUAGCAACUAACCAUGAUUUGUCAACUAUUCAUUUUACCACUAGAGCUCAUUUAUAUUAUGUUGCAUUAUAACCAUUUCCUCAUUUUGCAACUUAUCCAAAUUUUGAUUUUCAAUCGCAUACUGUGAUAUUGUUAAUCAUAAUAACUAUAUCAUCAUAGCAUAUUAUGCAUAUCUGAACUCAAACUAAUAAAUAUAAUUAAUAGCCUUACUUGAAUAGGAAAAUAAUCGAUAGCCAAACUUGAACUGAUAAAUAAUCAAUAGCCAGAAUUGAGAUGAUUAAUAAUCAAUAUCUAAACUUGAACCAGUAAUUAUAAUCAAUAACCAUAAUCAUCCUUCAGACUCCAACUGGGUAUAUUUAUAUAAUCAACAACAUAAUUAUUUUUCGGACUCAAAGUAGAUAUAUAUAUAAUCAACAUUAUAAGAAGUAUCAUUAAUAACGUAAAUGAUAACAGAAUCAAUAGGACCCAACCCUCAUAUUAACCAACAUAACCAUCAAGUAUCAAAGUUUCUCAAUAUUGCCUCAAAAGAGCAUUAUCUAGGUAUUCAACAAGCAUAUAAGGAUUUCAAGAAAACUCACAUAGAUCUUAGCUUAAGGUAGUUCAAAGAGCCAACUUCUAAUUCCCCAAAAUAUAUUCUAAGUUAACUUUUAAACCGGACUAGCCUAAGGUAUCUAAAUCCACUCCGCAAUGAUAAGGAAGCCACAAAUAGCCUUAAGCCAGAGAUUCUUCUUAAGCACUUUAACUAAUUCAAAUGGAUCUAAGGUAACUUUCAUUAGCUUAAACAACUAAGGACAACAUAACCUAAGAGUGAGUAACUAGAGCAUUUAUACUUAAUCUUGAGUGAUCUAAGGCAUUCUCAUUCUAAACAUGAGAAAUAAAGUCCAAUUUACCCAAAGCAUAGGGAAAUGAGCUAUGUGUUCAACACUACAAUUCUAGUAUGGCUUAAACGGUCUGACUAACACAAGUCUUGCAUUUUAUCAAUCCAACACCUAAAAACCAUCCCAAAUUUGACAUAAUAUCAUAAGAAUACUAUGAAAUACCUCAACCUAACAAGGGAUAAAUCUAGCUAUCAUGACCCAAUUUAUAAGUCAUGAUGGCACCUACUAAAUUCCACCAGUAGGUAAACCAAUACCAUAACCCGAAGCUAAAACAAUGGGUUAAUUCUGCAAGAAAUGCCAACAAAGGCAAAAUUCAAUGAACACAAGUUAUAAUUCAUCAGUGUUCUAAUAUAGAUAAAUAGACAAACAUGAAUACCAAUCCCAUGACCUGGUAUAGUCAUUACAAGAGUACCUAGUAUCAAUAAUACACCCCAAUAGUCUAUAAGUAACCAAUAAAUCUGUCUAAAAAAGACUGUAUAAUAAUUAGAUAGAAGGAAAUGGGCAACUCAUACUACAAGAGCUCACGCUAUCUCCGAAAUAUCUAUACCGCACGAACUCGAGUAAUUGGUGCAACUUUACUCAGAUCUACAUCAAAAAAGAAUAAAAAUGUAGUAUGAUUACCAAAAAAAUGGGUACUCAGUAGGCAUCAUCAGCCAACUAAGCUAAGUUAUUAUACAAAUAUGAUGUAUAGUAAGAUUGUACAAACUCAAACCUAAAUAAUCUCCAUAAUCAUUAUAUAUAAUAAGUAAUUAAACUAGAAUAAUAGUGUAACAUAAUGCAUCAACACAUGUCAAUAUCGCCGUGCCAAAGUAAUAGGCAAUCGGAGCCAUAACAUAUCAUAAAGUAUAACCACAAGCAAAACACAAGUACAAAGUAGCCCCCUUACACCAACUGGUGUAUUAAAUAAAGAACUCAUUGCAGCAUCCCAUACUACUGGAGAGUACUGAUGACGUCCAAGAAAUACCUCCUUUUAAAUAAUGGUAUGGUUGUUGUCAAGAUAUAGUAACCCAACUAAGGUUGGGGUGGAAUCAAAAGGGGACACGGGGAGUUGUAGUUAUCAAUAGUUGUAGUCUAUAGGCAGUACUGGAAUGUAAAUGAGGGGGGGGGGGGACUUGUUUGUAGUAAUCUUGAGAAAGUAACAAUAUUAAAUUUGGUUGAAAUCAGUUAUAGGAGAACAGUAGGAUUGCAUCACCCUGGCUUCUCAACUCUAUAGGGUUAUCGUGCUAUGUUGAAUCGACCCAAUACCUUGCUUACAGAAUUGAUAAGUUAUGUACCUUUUAUAGUCUUUUAGAUGAGUAGAAGGAUUUCACCCUUUACCUUUUGAGUCUUAGGAUAUUGCAUUACUAAUCUUUAUCUUAAUCCCAAUUAAUUAUUACCUUAUAAGUCUUUAGUUAUUAUAUGAAAGCUAACGUUCAUUCACUAUAUUCUAUUGUGCGUAAUGGAUCGACAAUUAAUUUUAAAAUUAAUAUUGUCAUUAUUUUUUCCUAGUUACUACUUCUCUUUUGGAGUGUAUUAGUAGCUAGGUAGGAUCCUAACAUUUGCAAUCGUAAAUAUAACUAUUAUAAUGAAAAUAAUGUAAUGCAUGCCUUAGGUAUUGGUUUAAUUCAACAAUCACACUUCCCCUAUGUCUUCAAUCAGCCAGGGUUUGCAUAACUAUAGCUAUGGAUUUUUAGCCGCUCAUAUUUGUGAAAAAAUCAAUAACAUUCAUGAUUGAAAGCGUGGAUGAAAUCAUAAUGAUAAGAUGAUUAAAAACCCAAAACCAUAACUUGAUUAAUCAACUAAAGUUAAUACAAGAGAAUCCCAAGAUCAAAUACGGAUCAUGGAAUCAAAAUAUAUUUUUUGAGUAUCAAAAGUGUGUAACUCCUAAAAAGUACAUAAAGCGUAUUUGUAGUACAUGAGAAAACCCUUAGAACAAACCCUUUGAGAGUUAGUUUUUCAACUUUUUUUUGAUUCUCUAACAUGCUUUGAUCACAAUCAAGACGAAAAAUAUCCCACACAUCCAUAGUCACUUCAAAAGUAUGCCAAAAAACUUUUUUUCCUCUUUUAAAGGAACUUAGAACCUAAAACAUGGUUUCUUGCAAAACAUACCCAAAGCAGAUCGUAGCUAACAAAAAGGCCUAAAAAACAUACAUAUUUUCUUAGUUUUAAGCGUCGAAAGUGCUAUAUUUCUAUAGCACAUCAACACCCUUAACUUAGAAUGUUUACAUGUCCUCAGGCAACAAAAAAUACAAAAAAACAAAAAUGAAGCUUAACUAGGAGAAUCUAAGAUACUCAAGGCAGUCAGUCAUCAUUAUAAGUUUAAAUCAUAACAUCCCCUCCUACAUCUCAUUUUAAAACCAACUGUGUAUGUCAUGAAGCACAACAAUAUGAGAAGCACAACAAUAUGACACGGUGGGAUCAAGUUAUAAAAAUUACAGUUUCAAUAGACAAACACUUAUAUAUACAAAUUACACUACCCGUAAUAAAAAAAAUAGUUGGCAAUAUAACUUAAGUGCUCUUACAACAAGGAUGCCCCACUCACUCAUAUGAAAUAAUGCAUGUCAAUAUAGGGACGGUCAAGAGAAACUCACACUCAACAAAGAAUUUCUAGUCAAUACAUGUCAAAUAGCACAGGCUUGCCCUUAUUUUCUUUACCUUAGCAUUCAGAUAGUCAAGUCAGGAUCACUAUAAGACUUUUCUCAGCUUGUAAUGUAUGCUUGGGGGUUGGUAUGAUAUAUAUGGACAUUUAAAGUAACUAAGCCUCCUUGGUACUCCACUAAUUUUGGGGUCUCACUUAUCAUCCAAAUUCUUCUUUUAUUCCACCCUUAUUUCUCUCUUUUAUUCUUGUAUGCACAUCUAGGUUCGGUGUGGUCUUCUAUUCUUUAUUUUUCUCUUUUUUACAAUUUUUAUAUUUCUUUUUUUUUUCUUCUGUUUUUCUAAUACACCCAACCCUAAUAUCUUUUAUUCUUAUUUUACCCUUUUUCAUACCCAUUUUACACUAUGCACCCCUAUGACAACCAUUCUCAACUUAUGGAUUUUGCCUGUGUUGAGGUUACAAUGUCCAAGGAGGACCUGGGCUAAAACAGGUAUAUUGUAAUACAAAUGGGAAGGUAAAUGGUGAAAAUAAGAAAAUAAAUAGGCUAACAAGGCUCAAAGUAGGGAUCAAGGGAUAUCAUUCAUAUGUGGAAGGUCAUUAAGACUAAAAGUGGACUAAAAUAAAAAAUCGCCUAUGAUCCUUUACUAAUCUACUAUUUUUCAACCUAGGCAAUACUACCCAGGAAAGUUCUGAAUCCAACAUACAAUGGGAACUAGGUAGUAUCUCAUACACAUAUAGCAUAAAGUCAAUAUCACUAACUACUACUUAUCCAGUCAAUGCCAUUUUCAGUGAAUGGUUACUAUAUCCCUAAUAGUAAUACCAUAACAAGAUCCAUAAAUUUCAUACAUUGAUACAUCAACACAGCUCUAAAAAAAUAAUAUUAGAGCUGUAUAAAAAUGUAAUACCCCAUACUUCUACCUAGCUUAAAUUUAUCCCAAAAAUAUUAAAUACUUGUUUCAAAGAUGAAUACACUUUUAUACAUGUGGUAUUUUCAAGAUUAUCACUUUUUAUCAUGUGAGAAAUUGAAUAAGCUUUCCAUCAAUACCAAAUUCAUGUAAAUCCGACAACCGAGUAAGAAGGUAUGGCGAUCUCAAUUUUAAGUCGUAAAACACCGCCAUUUCAGCCAAUGACGUGUCGAUCCAUAAGCCAAAAUGACAUUUGUCCGUUUAUGGUAAGACACCGCGAUUUCACCACAUCAUGGAGGGCUCCCAAAUCCCAAUUUUCAAAUUCCAGUGAAGCUCCGUGAUUACGCCGUGUCGCGCCAGGAGUCCAGGUUGAGAAAUUUUUACAAAAUUUAAAAGACGCAUCUCGGGUUAAAUGGGUCUUUUCCCAUGAUUUUUGUUCAGCCUUAAACAUGAAAUUUAAUCCUGCAUGACCUAAGGAUAUCAUUAUUCACUCUAUUUUCCCUAAUUUCUUUAUACACUCUCAAAGCCAAGAAACCUUAAUCUUAAAAAUUCAAGGACAAGGAUAAAGAAUCUUUCCAAGGAUCUUUACAGAGUUACAUUCUAAGGUAUGCCAUGUGUUGAUUCAUUGGUCCCUUUCACCAAUUAAUCUCAAUAAUCUUUUUGAAAAAUCCAAGAUUUGUAUAUUUAUGAAUGUUCAUUAUUUGAUUGAAUUGAAAAGUGAUGUUCAUGUUGUUGUUUGGUUUCACUCUAUGUUUUAGACUAUUAAUUACAAGUAUUGAUUCUAAUAUGUGAUGAAUUAUGUGAUUUUCAUGAUAAACCCUUCAAUUUAUAGGUUGAUUGAUGUAUCCAUGAUUAUUAGAUGUUGUGAUGAUUGUAUAACCAAAGUAUUCUCCCCAUGUGUUUGAUUAAAUGCCUAUGUGAAGGUAAAGUGCCAUACUGGUAUGAGAAUAUGAAAUGCCCAUUCAUGUACAAGUUCAUACAUGUCAAGUGUUUGAUAAAAUGUCUUAGUAAAUGAAUUAUGAAUAUAUGUAUGGACAUUGUGGUGCUUUAGAACUUGUACUUCAUGAGAUCCCCAACUUAUUGUAUUAUGGAUUGUCAAUAUUGUUCACGUAUUCCAGAAAGUCAUGCUUUGUUAGUUUUGUUCCAUUGAGUCCUGGGGGUACUUGUACCCAAUAAAUAUAGCUGUGUUCCUAGAGUUAGUGACUUAUUUUCAUGAUAUCCUCAGUCAACCCAUAAUCGCUAGAACUCAGUCAGUCAUGUGACUCAGGAAAGCUCAGUAGUUCUGUAAUCUCAAUAGUAUUUUUUCAGUUAAUGAAACUCCAUGAAUUUAGUGUAGUCCAAUUUAGUCAAUCAUAUUCAGUGUCUAUUCAGAUGGGAGUAGGAAUUAGCACCAAGUGAACACAAGGAUAAAAACACAUACUAUUAGAUGAGGGUGUGAUUCUUAGAAGUCAUCCUUGUAUUUUAGAACUAUGUAGCCAGAAUAGGUUGAGACAUCAACCCUAUUAGAUGAGGGUUGAUGAGAUGAAUAAAAACUGUCAGAUGAGGGUCCUACCAUUCUCUUUUGGGAAUAGUGCCAGAUAAGGGUCACCCGCAGCUUGUCCUUACUAGUGACAUGGUAUUAACACCCUUCCAAUCAGGGCUCAGAUUAGACCCCAGCUCAGCUAUUAUGGUGUAUUUUAGGGCAUGUCUAUUUGAUACUACUUUCCAUAGUUUUAGUUAUAGAAUUUAGGACUGUCAGAUAUAGUCAACUCAGAAUAGUACAGAACUCAGCUAGGUCCAUCAGAACCUAGACUGUCAGAUACAGUCGCUUAGUAUUAAUUAUUUUAAUUAUACAAUUAUCAGUAUCUUAUGUUAUCAGUACUCAGACUCAGCAAUCAUGUUAUCAUGAACUCAGUUAUAGUUAUUUUGUAUCUAUGUAUGCAUUCUCAUAUUUAUGUUAUCCAGUCAGUUAGUAUAAUUUAUGCAUGUGAACACUUUGAAUUUAUCCUACCUCAUAUGGAUACCAGUACAUUCAAUCAUAUUGAUGCAUUUGUGCUAUGGUGUUUUAUACUAUAGGUUUAGAAGCACGAGUUUCAGAGCAUUAGUAGUAUUCCACUACUCAGUAGUCAGAGUUAGCAAUGAGUCCUCAUCCUUUGAGGACACGAGUAUUAUUUUAUCAUUUCAGUACUUAGCCUAUUUCAGUGGUUGGAGUUAAUUGGGGACAUAUCCCAUCAACUCCUUAUUCAGACAGCUAGUGGCUUUUCAAACUAUCAUGAUUAGACAGUUAUUUCAAUUUUUUUGGGUAUUUCAUCCCCCUCUCAAAUGCUAUAUUUUAUCAGAUAUUAUGUCUCAGUUUUGGACCUUAUGGACUUUCAGCCUUUAUUUCUGCAUUUAUACAGUAUAUUAUGCAGUGUUUAGGUACAGAUUUUAGUCAUAGGUUAGCUUAUGGUCUUUUGGGGUCAUGAGCAUCGUGUAGUAUUUUGGGUACCAGAUUCAGGGUGUUUCAAACUUGGUAUCAAAGCCUAAGGUUCAAUAGUAUCCUAGGAAGUCUAAAAUCCGCAUCUAGUAGAGUCUUGUACAUGGGUGUAUUGCGCGCCCUAUUAUUGCACAGGAGGCUAUGAGAUAUUUUAGGAAUAAUUUCCCUUCUUUCAGUAUUCAUGUCAUGCUAGUGAGCAUGAGCUCAAAUUCAACUCUCAGUCUAAUCCAUUUCUUUCUUUAUUCUACAGAACAUGCCUCCCAAAAGAAGAAAUGGGAAUCAGCCAGCCCCUUAGCCCGAAGAUCCUUUGGGCGAAUAUGUUUCUUAUACAGAUUUCCGAGCUUCAUUAACUACUCUUGCUAAUUCAGUUGCUGCUCAGAAUGAAUGACCAGCUGUCAUUCCAGCCGACCCAGUGGAAAACCCUACAUCUAGGAUUCGAGACUUCACCCAAAUGAAUUCUCCACCCUUUUUUAGGUCUAAGUCAGAUGAGAACACUUAGAAAUUCACCGAUUAGGUUUAGAAGGUUACAAACAUCAUGGGGGUAAUUUCUAGUAAGAGUGUUGAGCUAGCUGCAUAUUAGGUGCAGGAUGUUGCUCACACUUGGUAUAAAUAGUAAAAGUCAGAGAGGUCAGUUGAUGUAGGAUCUAUAAAGUAGGAGAAGUUUGUCACUACAUUCUUAGAUAAAUUCUUUCCUCAAGAGCUGAGAGAGGCUAAGGUGUUAGAAUUUAUCAACCUCAGGCAGGGCAAUAUAACGGUGAAAGAGUAUUAUCUUAAGUUUACUCAAUUAUCCAGAUAUGCCCUUCAUGUUGUUAUAGACACCAGGGCCAAGAUGAGUAAGUUUGUUUCAGGGGUAAACGAUAGCAUGGUCAAUGAGUACAGGUCUAUGAUAUUGAAUAGUGAAAUGAACAUAGCCAGUCUUAUGACCCAUGCUUAGCAAAAAGAAGAACAAUAGUUUAAGAUAAGGGAGAAACAAAAUAAGAGAAUAAGGAAAGGUAGUUUCAACUUUGCUUAGCCCAAACUCAGAAGGAGGGAAUUGUUCUCAAUUCCUUCCUAAGUCAUCAGUUCCAGCUCCUUCUUCAGCUAGUGCUCUAGCUCCUAAGUUUAGGGAUGGUAAUAGAGAUAGGGCACCAGGCUCUAAGUCUCAGGGUAGUGUCAGCAAUACCCAAGGUAAUCCCCUUGUCAGACUUAUGGUAAGAUCCACAAGGGUACUUACAGAGCUGGUAGCAAUGUCUAUUUUUGAUAUGGAAAGCUAGGUCAAAGAGUCAGAGAUUGUCCCAUUCAGGUUAUCAGGGUCAGUAUAACCAUUCCUCAGCCCUGUUCGGUCGCCCAAAUUAGUAGGGUGCCACCUCCAGUGCUACUAGUGGGCAACACCGAAAUCAACUUUAUGCUCUCCAGUCUAGGCAAGAUUAGGAAAAUUCUCCUGAUGUAGUUAUUGGUACGUUAUAGAUUUUUCAUAUGCAUGCUUACACUUUGCUAGAUCCAGGUGCUUCCUUGUCUUUUGUUACUCCUUAUAUAGCAGUUGAUUUUGGAGUCAGUCCUAAAAUUUUAGAAGAUCCCUUCUCAGUCUCUACCCCAGUGGGUAAAACUAUCAUAUCCCGAUGGGUAUAUAGGAGCUGUGUGAUUUUAAUAUUUUAGAAAGUCACCUCAGCAGACUUAGUUAAAUUAGAGGUGAUUGCUUUUGAUGUCAUUCUCAGAAUGGAUUAGCUUCAGUCCUGCUAUGCCACAGUUCACUACAGAAAUAAGGUUGUUAAGUUUCAAUUUUUGAAUAAACUUGUCCUAUAGUGGAGGGGUAGUACUUCAACUUUUAAAGGCCAGUUUGUUUCUUACUUUUGGGCAUGAAAAAUAAUAUCUGAGGGAUAUGUCUAUCAUCUUGUCUAUGUUAAUGAUUCUAGCUCUGAAACUCCAGUCUUGAAUUAGUCCCAGUUGUGAGUGACUAUUUAAAUGUCUUUCCUGAAGAUCUUCCAGGAAUUCCUCCCAAAAAUAAAAUAGACUUUGGCAUUAACCUUCUUCCAGAUACUCAUCCUAUAUCUAUUCCAUAGUAUAGAAUGACACUAGCAGAACUUACAGAACUAAAAGAUAGUUAAAGAAUCUCUUAGAUAAGGGAUUCAUCAUACCCAAUGUGUCCCCGUGGGGCACACCAGUCUUAUUUGUGUGUAAGAAAGACAGUUCUUUCAGAAUAUGCAUUGAUUACCGUCAGCUCAAUAAAGUCACGAUCAAGAACAAGUAUCCACUUCCUAGAAUUAAUGACUUAUUUCACCAACUUCAAGGUGAAGUUAUUUCUUUAAGAUAUACCUCAGAUCAGGCUAUUAUUAGCUCAGAUUCAGAGAAUGUGACAUUCUAAAAACAUCUUUCUAAACUCGGUAUGGUCACUUCAAAUUUCUAGUCAUGUCCUGAUCUUACCAAUGCCCCAGAAACUUUCAUGGACUUUAUGAACCGUGUAUUCAAGAAGUACUUGGACAUAUUUGCAUAGUUUUCAUAGAUGAUAUUCUGGUCUAUUUCCACAGUGAAUGAGAACAUGCUGACCAUCUCAGAAUCGUACUUCAGACUCUUAAAAAUCAUCAACUGUUCGCCAAAUUCAGUAAGUUCAAAUUUUGGCUAAGGUGAGUAGCAUUCAUUGUUCAUAUCAUUUUUGGUGAUGGCAUUAGAGUAGAUCCUCUAAAGACUAAAGUAAUAAGAAACUUGCCUAGACCUAUCUCUCCAUUAGAUAACAGGAGUUUCUUGGGUUUGGCUGGCUAUUACAGAUGGUUUGUUGAGGGAUUUUCUUUUAUUUCAUCCCCUAUGUCCAUAUUAACUCAGAAGAAAUUCAAGUUUCAGUGUUCAGAUCCUUGUGAGAAGAUUUUUUAGGAGUUGAAGACUCGACUCACCCCAGCUUCAGUUUUGGCUCUUCCAGAUGGUUCAGAUGGUUUUAUAGUGUAUUGUCCUGGAUCCAGAGUAGGUUUGGGUUGUGUCCUCAUGCAACAUGGUAAGGUCAUAGCCUACACCUCCAAACAGCUUAAACCCCAUGAGAAGAACUAUCCUACUCAUCAUCUUGAGUUAGCAGCCGUAGUAUUUGCCUUAAAUAUUUAGAGGCAUUAUCUAUACAGAGUUCAUGUACAUGUGUUCACAGAUCAUAAGAGCCUUCAGUACGUCUUUUCUUAGAAAGAUCUUAAUCUUCGUCAGAGAAGGUGGUUAGAGUUGUUGAAAUAUUAUGACAUGAAUGUCCUUUAUUAUUCGGGCAAGGACAACGUAUUGGCCGAUACUCUUAGUAGACUGUCUAUAGGUAGUGUUGAUCAUGUUGAGGAUAGUAAGAAAAAGUUAUCUUAGGAAGUCCAUCUACUUACCAGACUAGGUGUUCACUUAGUCAAUUCAGAGAAGGGUGAUAUAUAGGUUCAGAGUAGUUCAGAAUCAUCUCUAGUUUCUGAGGUGAAAGAAAAGCAAGAUAGAGAUCCUAGUCUAGUCAAGUUAAAAGAGUGAGUCAAGAAUCAAAAGGUUGAGGUUUUCUGCCAAGGAAGAGAUAAUGUAUUGCGUUAUUAGAUCAUCUGUGGUGCCAGGAGUAGAUGACUUGAGGCAAUAAAUUCCUGUAGAAGUGCAUGGUGCGCGCUACUCUAUUCAUCCUAGGGCUACUAAGAUGUACCGCAACUUGUGGGAGAUCUAUUGGUGGAGUGGGAUGAAGAAAGAUGUCGUAGAGUUUAUGGCUAAGUGCUUUACAUGUCAGAAGGUUAAGAUAGAGCAUCAGAAGUCUAAUAGGUCUAUGCAGGAGUUCACUAGUCCUACUCAGAAGUGGGAAAAAAAUAAAUAUGGACUUUGUGAUAGGUUUACCUCGCACUAAUCAUCAACAUGAUUUAGCUUGGGUCAUUAUAGAUAGAAUGACUAAAUCAGCUCAUUUCCUUCUAGUUCAUACCUCUUAUUCAGUUGAGGAUUAUGCCAAACUCUACAUAAGAGAGUUGGUCAGAUUGUACAGUGUUCCAUUAUUUAUUAUCUUAGACAGAGGUACCCAGUUCACUUCUCAUUUCUAGAAAGCAUUCCAAAAAGGUCUUGGUACCCAAGUUCAUCUCAGUAGACCCUUCUAUCCUCAGACAGAUGGUCAAGAAGAAAGGAUCGUUCAGACUUUAAAAGAUAUGCUACGAGCGUAUGCAAUUGAUUUAAAGGGUAGUUGAGAUGACCACUUGCCUUUGAUUAUGUUUGCAUACAACAACAACUAUUAUUACAGUAUUCAGAUGGCUCUAUUCGAAGCACUCUAUGGUAGGAGAUGCAGAUCUCUAGUCGGUUGGUUCAAAGUUAGUGAGGCCUUAGUUAUAGGGCCUGACUUAGUAUUCGAUGCCUUAGAAAAAGUCUAGUUGAUUAAAAAAAAACUCCAGGUUGCUCAGAGCCGACAGAAGUCUUAUGCACAUAUGUGCAGUAAAGAUCUUGAUUUUGAGAUUGGUGACUAUGUUUAUCUAAAGAUAUCUCCAAUGAAGAAAGUGAAAAGAUUCGUCAAAAAUGGAAGGCUAAGUCCCCGAUAUGUCAUUCCCUUCAAAAUUCUUAUUCGCUUCGGCAAGGUAGCUUAUGAGAUCGAAUUACCUUCAGAUCUAGCCUUAGUUCAUCUAGUUUUCCAUGUCUCUUUGCUCAAGAAGUGCAUAGCUGAGCCAACAGUUGUAGUCCCUAUUCAUAGCAUAGAUAUUCAGAAUAACCUCUCUUUCGAAAAGAUUUCAAUCAAAAUUGUUGACUAUCAGACUCGCAAACUGAGGAACAAAGGACUCCCUCUAGUCAUAGUACUUUGCUAGAAUCAGUCCGUUGAGGGAGCUACUUCGGAAGCAGAAGCAGACAUACACACCAAGUAUCAUCACCUCUUCUCCUUUAAUUCAGAAUCAUCUUAAGGUAGCAGCUUUCCUUAAGCCUUUCAGUUUCAUGUUUAGAUUUUAGUUACAACUUGGUGUCCAGUUCAUGUUCAAAAUCCCAUUAUAAACUUGGUAUCUAUUACCAUUGCAUAUUCAGCCAUAUGUUCAUGUAUUAGAUCAGUCAUGUGUUCAUGCAUCAGACAUGUAUUCUCCUUGUGAGAAACUCAGUUAUCAUAAAUCUCAGUCAUGUAUUCAUGAGUCAGUUCAAUCAUGAAAUCAUGCAUCAGAUAUGCAUGCUCAGUAUGAAUCUUAGAAAUAUCAGUCAUAUAGUCAUGCUUCAGUUUUUUAUUUUCAGUAUUACUUCAUCUUAUCAUUUCUCCCAUCUCAAUCAGUCUCAUUCGAGGACUAAUGUUCCCAAAGGGAGAUAUUGUUAUACCCAGUACUUCUACCUAGCUUAAAUUUAUCCUAAAAAUGUCAAGGACUUGUUUUAAAGAUGAAUCCACCUUUAUAUAGGUGGUAUUUUCGAGAAUCUUUAUAGAGUUACAUUCUAAGGUAUGUCAUGUAUUGAUUCAUAGGUACCUUUUACCUAUGAAUCUUAAGCAUCUCUUUUAAAAAUCCAAGAUUUGUAUAUUUAUGAAUGUUCAUGAUUUGAUUGAGUUUAAAAGUAGUGUUCGUAUUGUUGUUUGGUUUCAUUCCAUGAUAUAGACUAUUAAAUACAAGUAUUGAUUCUAAUAUGUGAUGAAUUAUGUGAUGUUCAGGAUAAACCCUUCAAUUUACAAGUUGAUUGAUGUAUCCAUGAUUAUUAGAUGUGUUGAUGAUUGUAUAACCAAAGUCCCCAUGUAUUUGAUUAAAUGCCUAUGUGAAGGUAAAGUGCCAUAUUAGUAUGAUAAUAUGAAAUCCCCAUUCAUGUACAAGUUCAUACAUGUCAAGUGUUCAAUGAAAUGUCUUAUUCAAGGAAUUAUGGAUGUAUGUGUGGCGAUUGUGGUGCUUUAGAACUUGUAAUUCAUGAGAUCCCCAACUUAUUGUAUUAUGGAUUGUCGAUGUUGGUCACGUAUUCCAUAAAGUCACGCUUUGUCAGUUUCUUUCCAAUGAGUUUUGGGGGUACUUGUACUAAAAAAAUAUAGCUGUGUGCCUACAGUCAGUGACAUGUUUUCAUGAUAUCCUCAAUCAAGCCAUGAUCCCUAGAACUCCGUCAGUCAUGUGACUUAGGAAAGCUCAGUAAUUCUGUAAUCUCAAUAGUAUUCUAUCAGUUAACGGAACUCCAUGAAUUCAGUGUAGUUAAGUUUGGUUAAUCAUGUUCAGUGUCUAUUCAGAUGGGAGUAGGAAUUAGCACCGAGUGAACCCAAGGAUGGAAACACACACUGUCACAUGAGGGUGUGAUUCUUAGUAGUCAUCCUUGUAUUCCAGAACUAUGUAUCGAACAUAGGUUGAGACAUCAACACUGUCAGAUGAGGGUUGAUAAACACUGCCAGAUGAGGGUUGAUAAACACUAUCAGAUGAGGGUCCCACCAUUCUCUUUUGGGGGCACUAUGAGAUGAGGGUCACCUACAGCUUGUCCUUACCAGUGGCACAGUAUUGACACCCUUCCAAUCAGGGCUCAGAUUUGACCCCAGCUCAGCUAUUAUGGCACAAUUUAGGGCAUGUCAGUUAGAUACUACUUCCCACAGUUUUAGUUAAAGAAUUCAGGACUAUCAGAUACAGUCAACUUAGAAUAGUACCAAACCUAGCUAGUUCCAUCAGAACCUAGACUAUCAGAUACAGUCGCUCAGUAUCAGUUAUUUCAGUUAUACAGUUAUUAGUAUCUCAUGUUAUCAGUACUCAGACUCAGAGAUCAUGUUAUUACAAACUCAGUUAUAGUUAUUAUGUAUCCAUGCAUGCAUUCUCACGUUUAUGUUAUCCAGUCAGUAUAUAUAGUUCAUGCAUAUGAAUCCUUUGCAUUUAGCCUACCUCUCAUGCAUACCAAUACAUUCAAUCGUACUAAAUCAUUUGUACUAUGGUGUUUUAUACCAUAGGUUCAGAAGCACAAGAUCUAGAGUAUCAGUAGCAUUCUAGUACUCAGCAGUCAGAGUCAGCAGUGAGUCGUCAUCCCUCGAGGACAUGAGCACUAUUUUAUCAUUUUAGUACUUAGCUUAUUUCAGUAGUUGGAGUUAGUUGUGGACAUGUCCCAUCAACUCCUUAUUCAGACAACCAGAGGUUUUCUAGACUAUCAUGAUUAGACAGUUAUUUCAGUUGUUUGGGUAUUUCAUAGCCCACUCAGAUGUUAUAUUUUAUUAGAUAUUAUGUCUCAUUUUUGAACCUUAUGGCCUUUCAGCCUUUAUUUCCUCAUUUAUAUAGUAUAUUAUGUAGUGUUCAGGUACAGAUAUCAGUCAUAGGUUAGCUUGUGGUCCUUCAGGGUCAUGAGCACCGUGUAGCGUUUUGGGUACUAGAUUUGGGGUGGUACAAAAAAAUUAGUCAAAAUAUGACUACUGCCCUAAAUUAACAAAAUCUGCUAAUUAUGUAAUACAUCACAAAACAAAACACAAUACGGCUAAACAUAAUGGCUCUACUAGGAACAAAACUUUGGGAAAAAGAGUCAAGACAACAAAAACUCCAAGAGGAUAUCAUGACCCAUUGGCAGAUCCACCCCCAAUUGAAGAUUAUGCAUUGUCCCCAACAUAUCAAACCAUAAUGAGAGAGUUAGAAAUAUACCUGUGGCACCGUAAUCAUGAAGAUCUUAUGUUAGUCAUUCAACACGAACACAAACAACACCAUACCUUGGGUUUCCUCCUAAGAAACACCUAAUUUAUUAUCGUGACAUGACUCAGCUCCCUUGGAAUUUCAGACUUUGCCAAGGUCCAUCUCAGCAUAAACUCUAACUUCUUCCAGGUUUCCCAUGUAGUGUUUCACAUGCUGCCCGUUCUCUUUAAUUCAAAAUUCACCAUCAUGAUUUACCUCAAUAUCACCACAUGGGAAAAACUUAACCACAGUGAAUGGCCCGAUCCAUCUUGACUUCAGCUUGCCACUAAACAAGCAUAGUCUUGAAUUAUAUAACAAGACUAAAUAACAGGGUUUGAACAUUUUAUUCUCAAUCUUCUUAUCAUGGUACAACUUUAUUCUCUCUUUUUAUAUGAUCGAUCACUCAUAAGUACGGAGUUGAAAUUCGUCCACUCAUUUACCUUAAUUAGCCUCAUGUUCACUGUAUCACAUCAUUCAAAAUUCAGCCUUUUAAAGGCCCAUAGUGCCUUAUGAUCAAGCUUGACUGGUAAGUGGAAUGCUUUUAUAUACACUAGUUGGUAUGGAGAGGCACCUAUGGGGGUCUUACAAGCUGUCCGGUAGGCCCACAAUGCAUCAUCUAUCUUUCUAGACUAGUUAAUUUGAUUGGCAUUCACAGAUUUUGCCAAGAUAGACUUUAUUUCUCUGUUGGAAACUUCUACUUGCCCACUAAUUUGUGGAUGGUAAGAUGUUUACACCUUAUGACUCACACUAUACUUAUCAAGCAGGGCCAUGAACAAUAGAUUGCAGAAGAGAACCACCAUCACUAAUAAUUGCACGUGGAGUGCCAAAUCUGGAAAAAAAAUUUCUCUUUAGAAAAAUAGUGAUACUUCUGCCUUUGUUGUGUGGGACUGCAACUUCCUCCACAUAUUUUGAUACAUAGUUGACCACUACCUGAAUGUACCUCAUGCCAUUAGAGCUCAUAAAUGGACAUGCCAUUAGAGCUCAUAAAUGGACCCACAAAAUUAAUUCCCUAUAAUCAAAUAGCUCUAAUUCCAAGAUAUGUGUCAUGGAGAGUUCAUAGUGUAGAGAAAUAUUGCAUUGACGCUGACAUUGGUCUUAAGAAAGUGAAAAAUCAUGAGAAUCUUUAUAGAUUGUAGGCUAAUAAAACCUACAUUGUAGAAUUUUAUGGGCUGUCCAUGUACCACUAUGAUGGCCCCUAAUUGGUGAUGAAUGACAAGCCUUUGAAUGCUCAUCAUCUUUAACUCCGAUAUACAUAUUCGAAUUACUCCGCCAACAUAAACUCUGAAUAGAUAUGGAUCAUCCCAAAAGAAUUUUCUUACCUCAUGCAUAAAUCUCCGUCACUGUUAGGAGGAUAAAUCUUCUGGAAUGAGUUCACUUGCUAAGUAGUUGGCAAAAUUGUCAAACUAGGGACUCAAAUUAUGAGAUGCUUCUAACAUACGAUCAUCUGGAAAAUAAUCAUCUAUCUCAAGAUCAUCCCCUAUUUUCUAGUUUAUCUCCUCUUUAAGUCUGGAUAAGUGGUCUGCAACUUGAUUCCCUUUCCCUUUCCGAUCCUUCACCUCAAAAUCAAACUCUUACAGUAAGAGUAACCAAUGAAUCAAUCAUGGUUUGACAUCUUUCUUUGCCAUAAAGUACCUCAUGUUGCAUUGUCAAUAUGAAAUAUCACCUAGGUUCCAAUCAAUUAGGACCGCAACUUCUAAAAAGAGAAAACCACUACAAGUAGUUCCUACUCUGUAAUAGUAUUAUUUUCUGCACGGCAUUUAGAUCUUUGCUAGAAUAAUAGAUGGGAUGCAAGAUAUUUUUAUUUUAUUUUUCCUAGGACAACACCCAAGGCCACUCCGCUCGCAUCACAUGUCACCUCAAAAGGUACAUACUAUUCUGGUGACAUAAUAAUAGAAGCCGAAAUCAAACACUCCUUUAGGCAUUUGAAAUCCUUGAGACACUCUUCAUCAAACAAAAGUUUCACCUUCUUCUAUAAAAUUUUGCAUAGGGGAGUUGGAAUUUUAGAUAAGUCCUUGAUGAAUCUUUUAUAGAAAUUGGAGUGACCUAAAAAGCUUCGUAUACCUCUAAUUGAUACUGGAGGUACCAAUUUCUCAAUCACCUCUAUCUUUUCUUUGUCCAUCUUAGUAACAUGUUUAGAUAUCUUUUCCCUAGAACUAUACCAUUUCUCACCAUGAAGUGAUAUUUUUCCCAAUUUAGCACAAAUUGCACUCUUUGCAUCUCUAUAGUGCACUGGCCAGAUAGGCUAAACAACCAUCAAAAGAAUCUCCGACCACUAAAAUGUCAUCCUUGAAUACCUUGAUCAUAUAUUUCACCAUAUCAGAGAAUAUAGACAACAUACACCUCUAAAAAAUUAUGGUGUGUUAUAAAAUUCAAUGGCAUCCUCUUGAAUACAAAGGUCCCAUAGGGGAAAGUAAAGGUAGUCUUUUCUUGGUUUUUGGAAGGAAUCAUGAUUUGAUUGUAUCCUGAGUACCCAUCAAGAAAAUAGUACUAACCCUUGCCUAUGAAUAUAUACUAUAUAUGAUCCAUAACAACAUUGGGACGUGGUCCUUUUGUGUCAACUUAUUUAGCUUUUUGUAAUCCAUGCACACUUUCCAUCCAGUCACUGGCAUUAUUGGUACUAUGGUAUUAUUGUUACUAACUUAUUCAUUUUAUUUGGAACCACUGUUAUUCCCCCUUUCCUUGGAAUGCAUUGAAUCAGGCUAAAACCACUUACUGUCUAUAAUAAGAAAGACCAUCCCAACGUCUAACCACUUAACUAUCUUCAUUUUCACCACUUCUUGCAUUGGAGGGUUUAGUCAUCUCUGAUGCUCAAUACUAGGAAUAUUGUCCGACUUAAGUUGUAUUUUAUGUAUGCAUACCUGGUGGGAUCCCCACAAUGUCUGCAAUGGUCCAUGCAAUAGCUUUCUUGAACUUCUAUAAUACUAAUAUCAAAGGCUACACCUGCGCUCCUGCCAAAUCUACCGCAAUGAUCACCAAUAAGGUAUUAUUGGACCACAAGAAUAUGUACUACAGGUAAGGAGAGAGGACCUUCAAUUCUAAUGCUGACAGUUCUUCAAUCGAUGGUCUUGCAAGAGGUGUGUUUUUGUUCUUAAAGUUAAGAUUGAUCUUCUUAGGGGCGUACUUGUAAGAUCCUGUGCCAUGUGGGGUCACUAGACAUCUCAUCAUAGUCAUCUAUCCCAUCACUCUCAAAGUUCAUAACUACUGCGCCUAAUGUUUCUACCCUAAUAUUUCCCAAAUAGGUACAUCAAUUGUGACCAUGUCAUCAUCCACCGCUUUUAUCACUGCCACAACUAUCAUGUCAUCCAACUAUUGUGCUAUCAUGCAUAUAUUCUACAAAAUUUUAUCGCCGCUCUACUUUAAAGUGAUAUCUUUAAAGUCCACGUAAAUCAACACUCUACAGUAGCUAGGAAAGGUAUACCUAGUAUGAUUGGAGAAUCAAUACCCACUUCACAAUCUAAAAUCAUCAUCAGUAUAACCCAACUUCUCAAACUCUAUCUCAAGUGCCUCAUCAUAAACAACCAACUCCUUCUUUGGCUCAUCAGUAGUGGGCAAUAGUGCUCGUCAGGUGAGGAGUCAUCACUAGGACCAAUAUCCAUACAACGAAUGAGUGUUAGAAGAUUUUGUACAUUGUCACCAGCUAAUGCUUCUGACUAUCUCUCAGCUAAAGUAAUAGAGAUUUUCCCAUACUACUACUCAAUAGCAGUUUCAUGUGACUCAAACUUUUAGGCUAAUCCAGAAAUUUUUGUUUUAAGUUCUUUGAGGCUAGCCUCUUGGCUCUCUUUACCCUUCAUCAAUAGGGUCAACAUAUCUUUGAUUCUUGAUUCUGCUUCUCUUCUUCUUGGUGGAAUGUACUUAUCUCUCUUAUCAUAAUAGUUUCAACCUUGAUUCUCUUGCGCUUUGGAUAAAAAAUUGGCCUACUGAUGAUCCACGCACUUCACCUCCUUAGAUAUCCCAAACUCAUACACUUAAGAAGAAUUGAUGGUUGUAAAUUUUUUGACCAACACACUAAUUUUCAUCCAUUAUAAUAAAAUAUCAUGAGCUAUAAUGUUCUCAGCUCUCUCUGUGCAUAGGAAGUUCCAAUGGCAUACAUAUUAGAACCUCUCUCAACCUUUCAAGUUUACCACCCUUAGUUAGUUAAUGAUAUUUGAUCCAUAAUACCGGAAGCUAUCUCCAAUCGUAAUCUCAUAAAGAUCCUCUAGAAAUAGUGUAUGACAUUGCUCUGGAACUAUUAGUGAGGGUUAUAUUGAAUAUUUCCGACAUGCUUGUCCUUGAUAUGCGGUUGUUGGGUACCAUACUAAGCUUCUUCUGUAACCGGAACUAUGCAUCAUACAUAGAUUUUGACUGCAACAGCCUAAAAUUUUAAGUCUCAUCAUUGAGCUGCAAUACCCUAGAUGGAGGAAAGAACCUAUUCAAGAAUUGUCUGUGUAGCUCCUUCCAUGUAGUAAUAGAUCCUCUUGGCAGUUCCCAAGAAAUAAUGAUGCUUCACUAGUAAGUGAGAAAGGGAACAACCUUAGUCUCAGUGCUUUCUGAUCUACUCCCGGUAUGGUAUAUGAAGUGUAUAUCUCAUUAAAAUUUGCUAGUGCAUGUUUACGUCAUCUAUCGUUAAUCUCGCAAACACUCUUUCAAGUACAAAAGAUAAAUCAUAGAACUAGAUAUAUAGAGCAUGAUGACAUCAGGAGAUAAAGAAGGAGGGAUAAUGGAUCCUGUAUAACAUGGCUCAUAGUAUCCUAAAUCUUCCUCAUCAUCAACAUAUGACUGAACAUAUUGAUAUCGGGGAUCAAUUAAGGUCGGCAUUCUCUGUCUCUAUUUUGAUAUCCAUCGAGUAUUGCUUGGUGGUCUACUUUCUGUCUCUGCUCAGCUAACUCCAUUUAAGCUGACUACUCACUAGUCUAUCAGUAACACUAUCCUGAACUUCGUAUUCUGUGAGAUUUUCCCUCUUUGACUUUUACAUCCUACUAUAUAAUUAUAGGAUUUUCUUUGAAAUUGGUGGGAGUAAGGGAUUGACUCUACUCCCUGUGAUAGGCAUACACAGGCAUGUGCCCAAGUCAGGAUAAUAAAUAAAAAAGUCAAAAACUGCAAUGACUUCAAUCCAGAAAUCAACAUUGUAUUCCCUGGCAACGAAGAAAAUUUAUUGAUGAUGUCCAACCAAUACCUCCUUUUAAAUGAUAGUACAAUAGAUGUCAAGAUAUAGUAACCCAACUAAGGUUAGGGUCAAAUAAUAAGGGAACACGUGGAAUUGUAGUUAUUAGCAGUUGUAGUCUACAGGCAGUUCUGGGAAGUAAAUGGGGGAUUUCUUUGUAGUAAUCUCAAGCAAGUAACAAUAUUAAUAACAUUCAUGAUUAAAGCUUGUAUGAAAUCAUAAUGAUAAGAUGAAUAAAGACCUAAAACUGUAACUUGAUUAAUCAAUUGAAGUAAAUAGAAGAGAAUCCCAAGAUCAAAGAUGGAUCUUGGAAUCAAAAUAUAUUUCUGAGCAUCAAAUACGUGUAACCACUACUAAAAAGUACAUAAAGGGUAUUCAUUGUAGAAGAGAAAAUCCUAAAAACAAAGUCAGAAUGAAAUAUGAAAAAACAAGGUCAGUGGCCACAUGUAGUCCACACCUAUGGUCAGGGCACGGGUGCAGGUUGUACCUAUGGUUUGGCUUCGGGCUAGGUAUGAACAACAGGUACCGGAUAGGAAAAAUUUCUACAAGUUGGACUCUUGGGAUUUUGAAAUUCUGAUACCUACUUUGUGUACCUGUGGUCUGUAGGUCCUACCUGCGAUCAGUGGAUUAACUUAAUAAGUUUAGGAGACAGAUUUUUAUCUCUUCUUUGAUUCUCAAACAUGCUUUGAUCACGAUCAAGCCGAAAACACCCCAAACAUUCAUAAUCGCUCCAAAAGUAACCAAAACACUCUUUUUUUGACUUUUUUCAUGAACUUAGAAUUUAAAACAUGGUUUCCUGCAAAACAUACCCAAAACAGAUCAUAUCUAACAAAAAGGCCUCAAAAUUUGCAUAUUUUCCUUAUUUUAAGGGUUGAAAGUGCUAUUUAACUAUAUCAUAUCUAGGACGCCCAAGAGAAAUAACAAUAAGGCAUUUAGCCAUCAAAAUAUCCAAUUCUCAUCAUUUUUAACCAGUCACAUUUACUAUCAAUCAGACAUUUUACCCAGUUUCAUUAGUCACUAACCGUAACCAUAUAAUCAUAUUCCAUUCUAUUAUCACCAUUAGCCACUUAUCAUCAAUACCCAUUAAACACUAUUUUUUAGCUAAACUAGGAUCAUUAGCUAGUCCAUAGAUUCCUAGACAUCGUAUAAUUAUAGCCGUUUAUUAGAUGACUAUUCAACACAUAGCCAUUUUUAUAGCCAACAUUCCUUAACUAACCAUUUUUUAUCACUAACAUUAAUCACUAAGUAAGUCCUCAUUUUAGAACUAGUUUCCCACUUACCAACUAGUCUUGAUUAACCAUUUAAAGAAUAUCCAUCACGAAUCCUUAUUUAUCAUUAAUUAUUAACUGCACCACCUUGUAUGGAUUUAGCACUAGUGAGAUACAUCUGGCAUCCUAAUGUCACAUUACAUCCACAUUUCACCCAUGGAGAUAUAUAUGUAUAUAUAUAAGCAUAAAAUUGCCAUACAUAGGGGUAGAUGGACUCAAACCAAUAGAUGUGGUCGUAGUCACAUAAAAUAAUUAUCCUCCAGCCUUGCUGGGUAUAAUAUCAUAGUCACCCUUCGACCUUGCUGGGUAUCAUUAUUAUAACAUCCUCUGGCCUUGUUGGGUAUCAAUAUCAUGAACACAAUCUCCUCCGGCCAUGCCGAGUAUAAAUGUAUCAUAAUAGUAUUCUCUGGCAUUUUAGGGUAUCAUCAUCAUAUUCAAUUUAAUGUCGAAAAUAAAAAACAAGCCCCACAAGGUCUAAAGUAAAUAACAAACUGCAUGAGGGCUAAAGUAAAGAACAAGCCCCACGAGGGAUGAAGUAAGGAACAAGUUAUAAGCCAAUAAUCUAGUCCAUUAGAUCAUGCACAUAACCAUAUGCAUUAUCAUGAAUAAUGGCCCACAAUUAACCUAUUUGUAUGCCCACCAUUAGCAUAAAGAGAGUUUAUCACUAACUUGAGCAAUAGCAAAUCCGUAGCUUAAUUAAUAACAUGUCAUGGGCUCCUUUAAUAGAAAAAACAAUAGCUCAUUAUGGCAUCAUUAAUAAUUAUAGUCAAUCAGCCCAUGAACAUUAGUUCUAAUGGCAUUACCAUAAUUUACUAACAAAAGUUAGCCAAUAUGAUUCCAAGGGAGCAUUUCCAAGGUAUUUAGUAAGCAUCUAAGGUCUUCAAGAGAACUACAUCAAUACAAACUGAAGGUGGGUCAAGAAACCCCUUCUAAUUCCCUAAUACAUUCUAAGUCCAAAUUCUACCCCUGACUAGGUUAAGAUAUCUAAAUUAACUCCUAGAUGUAUAGCAAGCCACCAAUAGUCCUAAGGUAAUGGUCUUCCCCAAGAACUACACCUAACUCAACAAUAGUAUCGAAGGUACUUCCGUUAAUGUAAGAAACUAGAGUCAACUUACCCCAACAUAAGUGACAAGGUCAUUCUCAUACAACAAGAGUAUGAAGGCAUCCUCAUGCUAACCAUGACACAUGAGCCAGGUUCAAGACUACAAGUCAAGCAUUCUGAUCUAUGAAUUCAAGUGAACUAAAUGUUGCAAAAAAUCCAAAGCCCUAAUAUUAAUUAAUACAAAGCCUAAAACCCCUCCCAAUAUAACAAGAUAUCACAUUAAUACUAUAUCAUCGCUCAAUCUAACAAGGAAUAAGACUAACCUACCUCCAAUCCAAAGAAAGCUCACAAAUUACUAAGACUUUGCUUUUCCCCUCUAUGAAGAUUAUUCAAGGUUCCAAGACAUCAAAAACACAUUCUACAUGUCAUUAUGAGAAUAUAGAUACCCAUAUUGCACUAUUUUGCUUUGAAUCCAAAAACAACACCAAAAACCUCAAGUGGGUCCUAUUUAAGGAAAACACAUUUUUGAGGUCAACCCAAAGUUUGUACAAUUUCAAGGAAUCAUAAAACUCAAUAAAUAUAUAAAAAAUAAGUUUAUUUGGGGCUAAAAUAAUGACAUCAAGCUAUUUGGGGUUUUGGACAAGAAUUCAAGAAAUUCAAGCAUGAAAUUGAAGGAUCCUUAACUUAAAUCUGAUGUUAAUAGCAAAAAUAUGUGUUAAUAAAGCUCUCAAGUCACACCCAAGACUCAAUUUAAGGUUAGCACACUAUCUUAGGGUUUUUAGGUCUAAAAGAUGAGUGAGAAAUGCCCAAAAUGCAACCUAAGGGCCCCUUUUAUGCCCAUAACAUGUACUUAGAUGUGUUUAUCACAAAGCAUGGAUGGAAAUUUCCCUAGGUCAAUCAUAAUGCCCUAAUGGCGAUCAUAAUAAGAGGAUCAUGAUGCCUUUUUGUGCGAUCGAACAGGCUUCAGCACCAGCAAACUUGGUAAAUUUUCCAAGUUCCCAACGAUGCCUUAGGAUUCUUGUGGAACUCGAUAUAUGCAAAUGAAUUUAUAGCAUACCAAAAUUCAAUGUUAUAGAUACGUUGGCAGACUAGAAUAUUCCAUAUGAGGUUGUUUCGACCAAAUAUGGGAUCCACACUUAAACUUUUAAUUUUCUAACUUUUCGACCAAUAGUUUGAAAUGAGCUCGAUUGGAUUGGAAUCCAAACCAUGGGCUACCUAGCCUAAAAUCAAUAUUCCAGAGUUGCUGGUGCAUUAUUAAUUUGCAUCCGAGGUUGUGUCGACCAAAUAUGGUCCCACACCCAAACUUUCAAUUUUCCAACUUUCUGACUAAUAGGUCAAAAUGAGAUCGGGUGCAUUGGGACCCAAACCAAAGGUCUAUCUAGCCUAAAAUUGAUAUUCUGGAGCUGCUGGCAUAGUCAAAAUAGGCAUUCAAUGCUUUUUUACUGAAGUUUUUCCUGGUCACCAUUUGGUACUAGCAAAGAUUUCUAGAUAAGAAAUUGGAUCUAAGAACUAAAUAAACUGUCUGAUAACCGAACUAUCAUUUCCAGCAAGUCAUAAAUAACUUGGGUUUGCUACAGAAAAGAUCUAACAAUGAAAAUAAGUGGAAAUAUGGAAAAUAACCUGAAGGUUCAUUACAAUAUUCACUACUAAAGGAUAUUUCAUGUCCGAAAGUAAAAGAUGAGAAAAUACCUGAAGUCUCGAACGGGUGAGGAUACUAGGCCCAUGUCUUACAUUCGAUCUCUUAAGUAUCCUCCUCCAUUGGGCAGUGCCUCCACUGAACCUUAACUACAGAAAUCUCUCUAGUAUGCAACCACCUCACAUCACUAGCCAAAAUAAGAACAGGAUUCUUCACAGAGGUCAAAUGCUCAUCUAACUGGACUAAGUCCCAUCUAAGCACAUUAGAUGGAUCAAGAAUAUAUUGUCGCAACAUAGAGAUAUAGAAAACUAGAUGAACAAAAAAAAUUUGGAGGUAUAGAUCACUCAUAAACUACCUUACCCACUGUGAAAAGCAUCUAAUAAAGGAUAAUUUAUUGAGUGCUGAGCUUACACUUCUUCCUGAACCUUAUCACACCCUUCAUAAGAGAUACAUAGAGAAGUACAUGAUCACCAAAUUCAAAUCUCAAGGCAAGAAUCCUAUAAUCUGAAUAGGCCUUUUGCCUACUCUACGUUACUCGUGGCAUAUCCUGAAUCACCCUGACUCUAUCUAACAAGUCCUGAAGAAAAUCCAUACCACGGGACCUCACCUCAUGAGUUUAAACUAUUUGACAAGAGAACGACAUCUCUUACCAUACAAAUCACCAUCUCAAUACUUGAAUGAUAACUAUUUUUAUACGCAAACUUUUCCAAGCAUUAUUGUUGAUCCCACUAGCUUAAAAAAUCCAUAACGCAGGAUCAAAGCAUAUCUACAAGUACCUAAAUAGUUUGAUCAAAUAGGACAUCAAUCUACGAGUUAAAGGUUGUACUCAAAUCCACUUGAGAACCCAAAUCCUCCUGAAAUUCUCUUAAAACCCUCAAAGUAAACGUAAAUCCACUACCUAAAAUGAUAAAAAUUAGCACUCCAUGCAAAUGGACUAUCUCCCAAACAUAGAUAUGGGCUAAUCUCUCAGUACUAAAGGUCAUCUUUAUAGGAAUAAAGUGUAUUGAUCUAUAAUAAUCCAAAUACCUUCAAAACCAUAGAAAGUAUGAGGCAAACCACUAACGAAGUCCAUAAUAAUCUGUUCCUAUUUCCACUCAAGGAUGGGAAACCUCUUAGUCAAACCACAAGGACACUGAUGCUCGACCUUUACCUGCUGACAAAAUAGGAAACGAGCUUCAAAUUAUACCACAUCUCUAUUUAUGCCAUUCCACCAAUAAUUCUGCCUCAAAUCUAUAUACAUCUUGGUUGUACCUGGAUGAAAAGAAUAUCUAAAGUUGUGAACCAAGAUUAGUUUACAUUAGAUAGUUUUGAUGGGUUAUAAAUACCCGAUACCUAGAUAUUCAUGCAUGUUUUAGAUUUCAAGAUACACGAUAUACAGAUCAUUAUUUCAUCAUUAUUUUUAGAUUAUUAUAUUCAUGUUGAGCAUCCAUAAAUUGUGAAUCAUGUUAAAUUUAUAUAGUAACAGUGUGAGUUUAGUUAAGAGUAAGACUUAGCACCGAGCAAACCUAGAAAUUAUGGCUCACCUGCCAGUUAAGGACUGAGACCUUUAUGAGAAGUUACUGAGUUCCAAACUAUGUUGCCACCAUAGGUUAUGAGAUGUCACCUACUAAUUAAGGACUAGCAUUUUUAUAGGUCACCCACCAGUAAAAGACUGGCACCCUAGUCGUUUAGGACACUAAUUUUAUGGAUUCACAUAGCCCGUGUCGGUACUCGUGGUAAGGUAUUGACAUUCUUCCAACUUGGGUUAAAGGUUGGACGCCGAUUGGCUUAGAUUAGGCCAUGUUAGUUAAGUGUUAGUUCCCAUAAUUUCAAUUCAGCAUUCAAAUUUCGACAACUUAGGUUUGCAAUGCCAAGUGUCUAUACAUCAGUUAUUUAGUUAUUAAGAUUAUUUCGGUAUAUGUUUAUGCUUGUUCUUUCACUUAUUUUACAUGUUCAUGCAUUCAUAUUCAUGCCUAUAUGUAUUUCAGUUAGUCCUUAUCUCAUCUACCAGUAUAUUAAAAGUACCAACUACAUACUUGUCUUUAUGCUAUGUUGUCCUAUAAUAUAGGUUCAUACAUGUAGUUCCUCAAUCAUACUUUCAUAGUUCGUGUGCACUCAACUACAAUAUUGGCAAUUCUUUAUCAUUCAAGGAAUAAUUAUACCAGUUAUCAUGCUUUCUAUUAUUUUAGUUUAUGUUUAUUUUAGAAGUUAGAGUUAGUUGGGGACUUGUCCCAACAACUUAUCAUGCUUAGAGAUUUUUAAACAAUUAGACAAUUAUUUAUGUAUUCAUUGAUUUGUUAUAGACUUCUCUGAUUUUUACUUGAUUAUUUAAACAUAUAUUAAUAGAAUUCUGCAUAAUUUUUUUGUUGUCUCCCUUCAGUAUUUACAGCUUAUGCCAGAUCAUGGGUUAGUUUGGGGUCACCUGUAGCCUUAAGCAUUGUGUUACGACUAUAAGGUAGUCUCAGGCUAUGAAAAACAUGGUAUCAAAUCAUAAGUUUUAAAGUGCCCUAGGGUGUCUAAAAGCCCCAUCAAGUAGAUUUUUGUUCAUGGGUGUGAAGCGCGCCACAAUUAUGGGCGAGAGGCUAUGAUAUAUUUUAGGAAAGUUUCCUUUAUUUUAGUAUUCAUGUCGUGAAAUAGGUCAUGAGCUCUAUUAAAAUUCUCCUUCUAACUCAUUCUCUACUAUUUACAAAAAAUGUCUCCCAGAAGGACUAAUAGAAGAAGAAAUAGGGAAUAAUCCUGUAACGACCCGAUUUGCUAAACCAUAAUGCUACACGGUGCUCAUGACCUCGAAGGACAACAAGCUAAUCCAUGACUGAUAUUUGUACCUGUAUACUGCAUAAGAUAACAUAAUAAUACAGAAACAUGCACUGAAAGUCCAUAAGGUUCGAUCAUGAGCAUAACUGAAUAACAUAACAUAUAUGUGGGGUAAUAGAAUACCCAAAACAAAACUGAAGUCUAAAAUAUAAUAGUCUGUAUCUAGUUUGCAUCUAGUCUGGAAGCCUCUAUUGUCUGAAGAAUCUGAAUAAAUAGAUGAUGGGACAUAUCCCCAACUAAUUCCAACUAAUAAGAUAAUCAAUGAGAUACUAGAAAAUCAUUAUAUCCUUGAAGGAUGAGGACUCACUUCUACUCUGACUGCUGAAACUGGAAUCUACUGCUGAUCUGGAACUCGUGUCUCUGAACCUAUGGUGUAACAUAAAAAGAAAGCACUAUAGUGCGAAUUCAUCAGUACAUAUGUACCAAGUAUACAUGUGAGGUAGGAUAUAUGCAAUGGUUCACAUGCAUGAAUAAUGCUAACUGACUGUCUAACAUAAAUGUGAGAAUACAUGCAUAAAUACAUAACUAUAACUGACAAUGUGAUGUCAUGAUUUCUGAGUCUGUAUACUUAAAUGUGACAUGCUAGUAACUAAUAUAACUAAUAGCAUGAAAGACUAUAUCUAAAUAAUACUGAUAACAUGGGUGACUGUAUCUGAGUAUAACUAAUAAAGUGGGUGACUAUAGCUGAUAGUCCUGAAUCUGAUGGAACUAUUUGAGUUCUGUACUGUAUCUGACAGUCCUAAAAUCUGAAGAACUAUCUGAGUUCUAUUACUGAGAUGGAUUGACUCUAUCAAACAGUCCUAAUUCUAUAACAUAAAACUGUGGGAAGUAGUAUCUAACCGACAUGCCCCAAAGGUGCUAUGAUAGCUGAGCUAGGGUCCAAUCUAUGCCCUGAUUGGAAGGGUGUCAAUACCGCACCACUGGUAAGGAAAACAUGUGAGUAACCCUCAUAUAAUAGGUAACUCCAGUGAGAAUGGUGGGAAUCCUCACAUAACAGGUUAAGCCACCUCAUUUACCUUCAUAUAGUAGGCUAUGAUGUCUCAACCUAUGUUGGCUACAUAGUUCUAAAAUGCAAGGAUUACUUUGAGGAAUCACACCCUCAUAUAACAGGUGGGUCCCCAUCUUUGGGUUCACUCAGUGCUAAUUCCUAAUCCCAUCUGAAUAGAUGCUAAACAUGAUUUACUAAACUAAACUGAGCAUGGACUAAGUUACUGAAUUUCUGUGGCUGACAGAAUACUACUGAUAUCUAACAACUGACUGAGUCAUAAGAUUAUAAAGAUUUCUCCUGAGUCAUAGGACUAUAUGAAGUCUAAGAGUUCAUAGCUUGGCUGAGAGCAUUAUGAAAACAUGACAUGGCUCUAGGCACACAGCUAAUAUUUUGGGUACAAGUACCCCCAGGACUCGAUAGAAGAAAACUGACAUAGCAUGAUUCACUUGAAGACUUGACUAACAUCAUAAUACAUACUACAUUCAUAGGAGCGUUUCAUAAAACAUGUAAUAGGAAUGAACUUGUACAUACAUGGGGAUUUCAUGAUAUCAUGCAAGUUAGACAAUAUUUCGUUAUCUAGGCAUUUAAUCAAACAUAUGUCAGGCAUGGUACAUUUAAACAUCAUUAUUCAAUUCUAAUUUCAUCAUUCAAGGUUUUAAAUCUUAAGUAAUUCGCGAGAUCAUACACCUCUCUUUCCUACUUAUAAUGGAAAAGGGUACAGCUGGUUGGUCCAGCCUAUUCUUGAAAUAAACAACUCGCACACACUCCCUUUCUAAAAAAUAUUCCUUCUCUACCAUUUUCUUCAAAAAACUUAAGCUAAUUAAACUGAUGCUGGUGAUCUCGAAGGGAGAUAUCGAAACACUCAAUGCAGAUAGCUCCGGUGGCCCCCGCUUCUGCCUCUAUCAGGCGGCGAUAGCCCCCUCGCUAUUCAUCACAGCUUUCUUACAGAUGCUUACUACAAUGUGAUGUUAUGUGGCCUCGUAGUUGGGGAUGCGAGUAGCUGCUGUGGUUUCAUAAAAAACAGAGGAAACUAUCAUUAUUCCUAGUGUACUCAGUUCUAUAAAUUAACAAGUCCACAUAUAAACUAUCAACAAUCAUGGAGUAGAAUCCAUUUUCACAUUUAUAAAACAUGAACAUGAGAAGCCAAAACAUGAAAACAUGUAUGAAAUCCAUUACUUAAGUUUUAGAAAAGGAUUCUUGGACUUCAUGGAUGAAAGAGGUCCAUGAAUGAACACUAUGCAUACCUUAGAUCAUGAUUUCAUGAAGAUUGAUGGUGAAACCUUCCUGAAUUUGAAUCCCCAAUAGAAACCCUAGUUUGUUCUUGAGAUAAACUUGAGAGAAACUAAUAUUUUUUGGGUGAAAAGUGGAUGAAUCACAUGUUAAAAGAAUUAUAUAGGGGUAGGAAGUUGACCCUUUUAACCCUGGAAAAUUCAUUAAAUUUUCAGUAAAAUUUCCCGAGUUGGGCCCUUGGUGUUAUGUGGCGCUAUCGCGCCGUGUCACUAGAAAUUGACAAUUAAGAAACUGCAUGGUGGUGCGAUGCGGAGCUGUUAUGUUGCCACCUUGUCUAAGACUUGAAAGUUUGGCACAAUGUUCCAGUAUCAUGGAGAAAUACUGGAAAUUGACAAUUGCCAUUUGAGCUAUCUCCGUGAUGCGCUGAAGGCUCAGGUCAAACACUGUCUAACUAAAAAGGCUCUAACUCUUCACCCAGGUGUCGGAUUUGGGUGAAUUAUAUAUCGAUGAAAAUCUUAUUCAAUUUCCCACGUGAUAGGUAUAAAAAAUAUAGAAAUAACACAUGUAUAAUAAUGAAUUAUUAUUUCAAAGUAAGUCCUAAAAUCCUUGAGAUGAUUUUACAACUAAGAAAAAGCACAGGUAUUACAAACCCGUACCACUUGUUCUCUAAAUGAACAAGUAUUUCACAUUAAAUUUAGGGAUACCUUUACUUUACUAGACUGAUCUAUAUCUGCACAAAAUAACAAGUAAGUCAUUACCCCAACCAACCUUAUGGUGAGCACGACAGAAGCCAAAAUCUGAGAUUUAACUCAGAUGAAUCCUCCAACAUUCUUUGGAUCUAAGUUUAAGGAGGAUCCAUAUGAGUUUUUGAAUAGUGUGCAGAAGGUGACUGACAUCAUGGAUGUCACUUCUAGUGAAAAUGCUAUCUUAGUUGCUUACGAGUUGCAUAGGGUAGCUCAUACUUAGCUUAAGAAAUAGAAAGAGGAUAGAGGUACUGAUGCAGGACUUGUAGAGUGGGAUGAGUUUGUUACUGGUUUCUUGAGUAUGUUCUUUCCAUUUGAAUUGAGAGUGACCAAGGUGCAGGACUUUAAAAAUCUGAAGUAGAGUAACACAAGUGUGAAAGAGUAUUCAGUCCAGUUUACCCAGUUAGUGAGAUAUGCUCUAAUUAUGGUGGCUGAUUCCAGGUCCCAAAUGAGUAAGUUUGUGUAUGGUAUGUCAGAGAUAUAGCCAAGGAUUAUUGGACCUCUAUGUUGAUUAUGAAGAUGGACUUUUCUAGAUUGAUGGUCCAUGCUCAAUAGAUUGAGAAUGAGAAGCUCAAGAAAAGUGAAAGAGAAUAAGAGGGCCAGAACUGGUACUUUAACUUUUCUCAACAAAGGGCUGAUGGAGCGAAUCAUUUUCAGCUUUUCCAAAAAUUAUUAGCCCCCACCCCAUUUUAUGCCAGUGCUCCAAUACCUAUGUUCAGACAAGACCAUCUGGAUAGAGCACCAGGUUUUAAGUCCCAAGGUAAUGUUAAUAGUGGCCGAACUAACUUAGUUUAUACGAGAUAUGGUAAGAACUACAAGGGUGAGUGUAUGGAUGGCAGUGACACAUGUUUUGGGUAUUUAAAGUAAGGCCAUAAUAUCAGUGAUUUAUUGGUGGUUGCCCAGAGGUGUAAGGAUUUUAAUCAAUAGGGUCAGACUAAUUUCUCUUCAGCUCCAACUAGUCGCCAGACUUAGUAGGGUACCACCUCAAGUGCCACUAGUGGGCAGUGUAAGAAUCAACUAUUUGCCCUUCAUACUUGAUAGGAUCAAGAAGUUUCUCCUAAUAUGGUUACUGGUAUGUUACAAGUCUUUCACCUUCUUGUUUAUGCAUUAUUAAACCCUAGAGCUUCACUUUCCUUCAUGACUCCUUAUGUAGUAGUAGAAUUUGGCGUCAGUCUCAAAAUAUUAGCAAAACCAUUCUCGAUGUAUGCUUUAGUAGGUAGUUCUAUUAUAGCCAAUGGGUAUACAAAAAUUUUCUAGUUAUAGUAUCCCAAAAAGUCACCUUAGUCAAUCUCAUAGAAUUAGAGAUGACCGAUUUUGAUAUCAUUCUUGGCAUAGAUUUGCUCCACUCUUGCUAUGACUAAGCUGAUUAUAGAAAUAAAGUUGUCCAAUUCUAGUUUCCUAAUAAGCCAAUUAUAGAAUGGAGGGGCAGUACCUCAACGCCUAUAGGUUGAUUCAUCUCUUAACUUAAGGCAAGGAAAAUGAUCUGUAAGUGUUGUAUCUAUUAUCUUGUUUGAGUUAAGGACUCAAGUUCCAAAACACAGGCUCUUGAAUCUAUUCCAGUAGUAAAUAAGUUUCAAGAAGUGUUCCUUAAAUAUCUUCCCAGAGUUUCUCCCGAGAGGGAAAUCAACUUCAGAUUAGAUCUUCUUUCAUAUACAUAGCCUAUUUUAAUUACACCAUACAGAAUAACUCCAACUGAGCAUAAGGAGUUGAAUGAACAAUUGAAAGUUAUUUUAGAUAAGGGAUUUAUCAGGAAUAAUGUUUCCCCUUGGGGUUCUCCUAUUCUCUUCGUGCAUAAGAAAGAUGGUUCUCUCAGAAUGUGCAUCGACUACCUUCAGUUGAACAAUGGUACAAUCAAGAAUAAGUAUACUCUCUCAAUAAUUGAUGACUUUUUCAACCAAGUUCAGGGAGAUAAUUAUUUCUCUAAGAUAAACCUCAAAUCUGGCUACUAUUAUUUUAGAUUUAGAAAAUGUGACAUUUCAAAGAAAACCUUCAAAACUCGAUAUGGUCACUUUGAAUUUGUAGUUAUGUCUUUUGGACUAAUUAAUGCUCCUGUAUCUUUCAUGGACUUGAUGAAAAGAUUGUUCAAGUAGUACUUGGACAUAUUCAUGAUAGUCAUGAAAUAUGAUAUCCGCAUCUAUUCCCGUAGUGAUGUUGAGCAUGUAGACCAUUUGAUGAUUGUUGUGCAGACCCUUAAGAAUCAAUAACUAUUCAAUAAGUUCAAUAAAUGUGAAUUCUAGUUGAAAUUAGCAGCUUUUCUUUAUCACAUUAUUUUUGUUGAAGGCAUUUGAGUUGAUCCUCAAAAGAUUGAUGAAGUAAGGAAUUAGCCGACCCAUCUCUUUAUAAGAUAUUAAAUGUUUCUUGGGAUUAGAAGGUUACUAUAUAUAAAUUGUUAAGGGAUUUUAUUCUUUUUCCUCUUUCAUGUCUAGACAGACUUAGAAGAAAGUCAAAUUUCAGCAGUCAAAUUUCUGCAAGAAAAGUCUUUAGGAAUUGAAGACUCGACUCACUUCUUCCCCAGUAUUGACUCUACCAAAGGGUUUAGAUGGUUUAGUAGUUUAUUGAGAUGUUUCAAGAGUUGGUCUAGGUUUUAUUUUGAUGCAGCGAGGCAAUGUGAUAGACUAUGCCUUUAGACAACUUAAUCCCCAUAAAAAGAAUUAUCCAACUCAUGAUCUUGAGUUGGCAAUAGUUGUUUUUGCCUUACAGAUUAGGAGGCAUUAUCUAUAUGGGGUUCAUGUUGAAGUUUUCACUGCUCACAAGAGUUUACAAUAUUUAUUUACGUAGAAGGAUUUAAAUCUUUUCCAGAGAAAGUAGCUUGAAUUUAAGAAAGGCCAUGGUAUGAGUGUGUUGUAUAUAAACAUAACGGUUGUCUAACGAGAUACUAUGCAGAAUAAGGUUGUCAGGUGGGUCACAUAUUGCGCAUUUACCGCUUUCGAAUUUUUAAAAUUGGAUUUAUACUUUAUCGACUUAUUUCAUAUCAUGGUUCAGGCGUUAAAAAUCAGUGAGGUUUACUCUUCCUUUUCGAUGCCCGUGGAACUACUGUCAAUGGUUUACUCAAUUACUUAUUGGGAAUGUUAAAAAAAAAGAUUACUACGUGAUUUUUUGAAUAUGCCUAUAUCUAUCGCUUUUCCUUCAUUGAUUUGAUUCUUUCAAUAGAUACCGAGAUUCAUAUUGGAAAUAAAAAAUAUAGUAAUUCAAACUAUAAGACAUAAGAGUAAUUCAGAUUGAUCAGAACAAAUAGAUAUAGCAAAUAAAUGGAAUUGGAUGCUAUGUCACUCCCAUAUAUGGAAUUGAUAUUCACAUAUAUCAAGAUAAUAUUGUGGAUUGAUCUAUAGAUCCAUAUCAAAUGCAGCCUCUAUCUUUAUUUUAGUCCAGGGAGCAGCUACAAUCUAACUAAUAAAUAGUAUGGUAGAAAGAAAUAGAUGAAUCUUUCUACCAUACUAUCUAUCUAUUAGAAUACUGCCGAUUCUAGUCCACUCAUUUCAUUUAAGACAUGAAAUUGGAAUCUUUUUCAUUUUAUUUCGGCAAUUUUGGCUAAGAACUCAGAAGUCAAGUUUCAUUCAAAUUAGUUAAUAAUUAAUCGUUUUGACUGACUGUUUUUACGUAAAUGAUAAGUAGAAAAGCGGUAGGAACUAGAAUAAAUAGUGCAGUAGCAAUAAAUGCAAGAAUAUUUACUUCCAUAAUCUCAUCGGUUUUUUACUUCGCAAUAACUCGGGAUUUAAUCCCAUAGAGAUGAUAAAUCUUUGGCCUGUAAAUUCAAUGAAUGAAUAUUACCUCUCGAUGAUCUUGAAUCGGAUCAAUAUCAUGAAUAACAAUAUCUGAACUAUCAAAUCAAUUCGUCGUCGAGAAUUGAAUAGUAUAACAUAGGAAGUUCUUUUAUCCAUACCGCCCCAAACUUGGAUUCCUGACCCAAUCCAACCAAAAUUCCUUUAUUUAUCAUUUUUUAUCAUCUGUUCUUUUUUUCUCUCUAAUCUAUCUAGUUCCUUCUUGUACAAUCAUCUGAUGAAGUCUCAUCAAACAGCUCUUCCACUUCCAGUGGUCACAUAGUUACAAACCCAAACAAACAAUAAAAGCUAAAUGGAAAAAGAAAGGAGUUUAGAACGAAACUAUUUUUGACUUGGAAGACAAAGAAGUGUGAUAAAGAUGCGACCGUAUAAAAUGAAUAUUCAUCAAAUUUACUAUUUUUCAAUUUGUUCUUUCGUCGAUGGGGCCUUAAAACAAAAUGAAAAAUCGGAAAAAUGAUUCAUUCCCCUUUCUAAGAGGAGUAGGAUCUUUGGUUGAUCUGUCCUUCCCCCUCCUUUCUUCGUAGAUUAUUAGCCCCGGGACACCUAUACCAAAAGCUCAGUGUGCAAUUUGCAUGAAAUCUAUUUUUCAACUUCAAACUAGUAAGUGAGGUUCCAUAAAUCCGUAUCCAGAAAAAUAAAUUGUUUUUUUUUUGUUUUUUCUGGAAAGUAUUUUCUUAUAUUCAAUUUUGUAUUGGACAAGAAAAGAAUUCCCUUUGUGUAUGCGCGCCUCAAAAAGGUAUAGUACCCGAUUCCAUUACAUGCAUCGGGGUCAAUCGAAAAAGCCAGCAUUUCUUGGAAUACUGACUAUAAUGCUACCAAUAAUUGUACUAAUCCAACCGCAUAUUACCCAAAGGAAAGAAAAAAGAAAUAAGGAUUUCCCCUUUGCUUUGACAAUGAAAUUCUGCCCCCCGUCCCCUUCAUAAAAAGGGAGAGAUUUAUAUUGGAUCCGUCGGGACUGACGGGGCUCGAACCCGCAGCUUCCGCCUUGACAGGGCGGUGCUCUGACCAAUUGAACUACAAUCCCAGGGAAAUACGGGAUCUAGCAGAAAAUUUGAUUCUUUUUUAUCUCCGGAUCGGGUAUUUCUGAAGUACAAAGGGGUUAUAUCAUCUCAUGGUGGAUUGUCGAAUUAUUGGGCCGAGCUGGAUUUGAACCAGCGUAGACAUAUUGCCAACGAAUUUACAGUCCGUCCCCAUUAACCGCUCGGGCAUCGACCCAGGAAGAAUCAAUUUUAGACUUAUUGGUAAUCCAAGAUCAACUUCCUUUCGUAGUACCCUACCCCCAGGGGAAUUCGAAUCCCCGCUGCCUCCUUGAAAGAGAGAUGUCCUAAACCACUAGACGAUGGGGGCCCGCUUGACCAACGGCCAUCAUACUAUGAUCAUAGUAUGAUCAGUUUUUUGAAAUUGUCAAUAUAAUCGAAUGAUUCUAUCCGAGGGAUCUUUCCCCCUUUCAGAAUUGCAUAGAAUUAUUUUUUAUUCUGAUGAAUUAUUCAUUCUAAUCGCCAUUAGAAAUCUAAAAUCUAGUAGUAGUAUUUUUUUUAUUUUUGAAUUAUUUCAAUUGAAUUUAUUUCGAUUAUUUUAGUAUUUAGAAUUUUAUUUCGAUUUCUUUCACUUUCAUUUGAUUCAUUGUUAAGACGAGAUAUCCUUAUCUCCCUCCCACCAAGACAGGAAAUUAACAAAUGAGAAAUCUAGUAAGAUCAAGCAGAAAAUUGUUUUUUAUCCAAGAAUUUAGUUCAAGAGACAAGUAGAAUCUCUUCAUUCCAUGAUUCGAUGAAAUAUCUUGAAUUUUAUGUUGAAUUGCUAGGUGUAUGUACAUGUAUCAAUCAAGUGAAUUUUGUUCUGGUGGGAUCAAUUCAAUAAAAGAAAAAAAGCAAUUCGAGUCGGUCUUGAAACACUUCAUUGCAUUUUCUCCUAGACUUCCUAGGUAAAUCCAUGAGCCACUAGACACUAUGUAUCUACUGCACGUAUUUAAUGCAUAUAUACUUAUGUUUAUAAUAUAUGUACAUAUAGAUAUUUUAUCCACAUAGUGAAUAAUUCCGGAAUUAAAUAAAAAAGGCCCUUUUAACUCAGUGGUAGAGUAACGCCAUGGUAAGGCGUAAGUCAUCGGUUCAAAUCCGAUAAGGGGCUUUGUAAAACUCCAAUCUAGUAUUCAUAUUUAAGGGGAGAAUUGUAUUUUGAUUUGUAAUAAAAAAAGUAACUAACUGGAUAAUACAUUAUCAUUAUACUUAGUUAUAAAGUUGAACAUUUGUUUAGUCAAUUUUCAUUAUUAUGAAUUUAUGAAUAAUGAAAAGUCACUUCUUGAAUCACCCACCGAAUAUUCCUAUUUUCCAUUAUACCAACCAAAUCCAUUUGAAAGGUUAGAAAUCAACAAAAGAAAAAGGAAGUGGACCUGACCUAUUGAAUCAUGACUAUAUUCGCUAUUCUGAUAUUAAAAUUCGAUAGAGAUGAAAUUGGAGCAGUUGAUUUUUUUUUUAUUUCAUUUUUUUGUUUUGGACUGCACAAGAAUUUGUCGAUAUUUCCGAUUAAAUCUUCUUGUUACUAGAUUUUCUAUAGGAAAAAUUAUAGGAAUAAAUUGUUAUUCCUUUCCUCUACAGAUAAACCUUUCUUCCAAGUCACACCAUAAGAGCCAUUUAUUAUCUUUCUUUGAUUCUAGAUCAAAGAUUAAUUUCUAUCUAGAUUAUAUAUCUAUAUUAAGUAGAUUGUAGAUUUCGAUGUAUAUCUAUCAGAUCGUGGCUUCAUGUAACAAAUAUUUCAAUAUCGUUGCAUCCGGUAUUUUUGUUUUGUUCCAACAGUGUGAUGAAGAAUAGAUCCGAGAAAGAGACUUUCAUUUCCAGUCUCCUAGUUAUUUUAUUUAUUUUAUUGAAUUUUAGAUUUGCUAAAGGGAAAAAUAGUAGAUUAUCUCUUUUUCUAACAGACAAAAGAAUCUAAAAAUAAAUAUUUGCUCGAACUUUCUUUUUUCUUUCGAUCCGUGGAAAGAUAUACUCUGGGGUUUUAGAUUUAUUUAUAUGAAGUAUGAAGGAAAGGGACCGUUUGGUCCUUGAAGAGUUCUUUCAAAACAAGGGAUUGAUUGAAUUGUCUUAAUAAGAUAAUUCAUGGUUCAUAUGCUUAGUCAGAAGGAAUAAUCCAAUGGAGUUCAUGGAUUUACCUAGGUCAGUUUAUGGGCUAAUCAAUAAGGGAUUUUUAUCUUCGAAACCCAUUGGAAAGGGCAGCGCCAGAGAAAUCAUACAAAAAUGAUCGAAUCUUCGGACGCCCCGAAAAAGAUAUGAGGUGCUCGGAAAUGGUCGAAGUAGUUGAAUAGGAGGAUCGCUAUGACUAUAGCCAUUGGUAAGUUUACCAAAGACGAAAGUGAUUUAUUUGAUAUUAUGGAUGACUGGUUACGGAGGGACCGUUUCGUUUUUGUAGGCUGGUCCGGUCUAUUGCUCUUUCCUUGUGCCUAUUUCGCUUUAGGGGGUUGGUUCACAGGUACAACCUUUGUAACUUCAUGGUAUACCCAUGGAUUGGCCAGUUCUUAUUUGGAAGGCUGCAAUUUCUUAACUGCCGCGGUUUCUACUCCUGCUAAUAGUUUAGCACAUUCGUUGUUGUUACUAUGGGGUCCUGAAGCACAAGGAGAUUUUACUCGUUGGUGUCAAUUGGGGGGUCUGUGGACUUUUGUUGCUCUCCAUGGAGCUUUUGGCCUAAUAGGUUUCAUGUUACGUCAAUUCGAGCUU